This 51932-nucleotide long non-coding RNA is filed under the name Malus domestica (apple). Its description in RNAcentral is "long non-coding RNA (MDOM_LNC008886)". Lineage: Eukaryota; Viridiplantae; Streptophyta; Magnoliopsida; Rosales; Rosaceae. The record is from RNAcentral.
CCCCUCCCCCUCUCAAGAAAAAUGGGGGGGGGGAGGGGGUGGGAGGAGGUGAACACAUUAGAUUCAUCAAAGGAGUUCAACCAUAAUUCUCAAAAGCUUCACACACUCUUGAUCAAGACAGUGUGAAGCAAAACCAAUUUAUGGUGCCAACAAGAGCUUUAUCAAUAGAGGGCAAUCACAAUUCUCAAAAGCUUCACACACUUUUGAUCAAGACAGUGUGAACCAAAACCAAUUUAUGGUGCCAACAAGAGCUUCAUCAAAAGAGUUCAACCACAAUUCUUAAAAGCUUCACAAACUCUUGAUCAAGACAGUGUGAGGCAAAAAACCAAUUUAUGGUACCAACAAGAGCUUCAUCAAUGGAGGGCAACCACAAUUCUCAAAAGCUUCACACACUCUUGAUCAAGACAGUGUGAAGCAAAGUCAAUUUAUGAUGCCAACAAAAACUUCAUCAAUUGAGGGCAACUACAAUUCUCAAAAGCUUCACACACUCUUGAUCAAGACAGUGUGAAGCAAACCAAUUUAUGGUGCCAACAAGAGCUUCAUCAAAGGAGUUCAACCAUAAUUCUCAAAAGUUUCACACACUCUUGAUCAAGAUAAGCAAAACCAAUUUAUGGUGCCAACAAAAGCUUCAUCAAUGAAGGGCAACUACAACUCGUAGAAAGCUUCACACACUCUUGAUCAAGAUUGUUCGAAGCAAUUUCAAUUUAUAUGGUUCAUCCAAACCUUCGACUACUACAAGGUGUGGCUUGCAUCACAAUCUCUUACUCAAUUUUGUGGAAGUAAAAUUUGUAUAUGUUGUCUCUCCCACAUUUUCAAAUUUCUAAUUUCCCAAAAAAAAAAAGGAAAUUGGGAAAUUCAACAAAGCUUCAUCAAUGGAGGACAACUACAAAUUCUCAAAAGCUUCACACUAUCUUGAUCAAGAUAGUGUGAAGCAAAAUCAAUUCAUGGUACCCAACAAAGCUUCACCACAAAAGCUUCACCAACAAAAACUUCAUCAAUGGAGGACAACUACAAAUUCUCAAAAGUUUCACACUAUUUUGAUCAAGAUAGUGUGAAAAUCAAUUCAUGGUACCCAACAAAAGCUUCAAAUCCGAAGCUUCACCUACAAAGCUUCAACUCCAAAGCUUCGCCUACAAAAGCUUAAACACAAAAGCUUCACCCACAAAACUUCAACUCCAAAGCUUCACCUACAAAGCUUCAACACAAAAGCUUCACCCACAAUAGCUUCACCUACAAAAGCUUUACCCACAAAAGCUUCACCCACCACCAAAGCUUAAUAUAAAAUAUAUAUAUAUAUAUAUAUAUAUAUAUAUAUAAAUUUUCAGAAAUUUAAAAAUUCAAAAAUUCAAAAAUUCAAAAAUUCAAAAAUUCAAAAAUUCAAAAAAUCGAAAGAAAAAAAAAAUUGCCUAGGCCUCAUCUUCUUUGGGCCUAACAACUUUCAUAACAAAUAUAUAUGAAGGAGGAGUUUUGGGCUACCAUGUAAAAAGGAAAUGCCUCAUUCGUCAACUCCCUCGACCGGAGACUUGGGGGACUCCUACCAUAUGUUACUGCACCUUGAUACUCGGAAGUCUCACGACCACUUAGUGACUUGGAUUUUUCAAGUCUCCAAUCGAGAAGUUUUCCUCACUCGGGAAAUUAAGGGAGCACUACCUCAACAUACAUGCUUCACUCACAAAGCUUCAACAUAUAAGUUUCAACAAAAGAAAAAAAUUCAAAGAACUUAGUGAAGAAGACUUUGGUGUAUUUAACACAAUACGUUGAAAUGAAGCAAAACUUAUUUAUUAACAUCUCCGAUAAGUUACAAAUAUGUACAUAUACAUGAGUCAAAAUAAACAAACAAGAGAGAACUUUCAUAAAGGUUGCUCAUGAAAAGUCUCAGCAGUCGGCAGAGCCCUAGAAAGAUAAGGCAUCAGAGGGUGAUCAUUCAGAGCCUUAGUACUGGACAGAACCCCAGAAUGAGGAGGCAUCGGAGGUUGAUCAUUUGGAGCUUCAUUACGCGGUACAACCCUAGAAGAUGAAGGCAAUAAAUGCCUUUGGAACAAACCCACAAACCUCUGAUGAUCAAAUAAAAUCUGACCAUUAGAUUCAUGCAUCUGGUCAAACUUACUUUUCAUGUUUGUAGCAUAGUCAUGUGCGAGCAUGUGCAACUGUUUAUUCUUAUGCUUGAGCCCUCUAAUCUCCUGUUUGAGACUUAUCACUUUAGCCGCCAAUGAUUCAACUUGGCGGGUUCGAGCAAAUAAAUGUUGGGCCAUAUUAGACACAGAACCUGUACACUGAACAUUAAGAGCCAGAUAAUCCUUAAUAACCAACUCAUCAGACCGUUUGGAAAGUAGUCUGUUAUCUUUAGGAGUGAGAAGGUUCCUGGACACCACCGCAGUGGUCAUAUCAUUCUUCAUCACAGAGUCCCCAACGGUAAGAGUACCAGUAGAGGAUAAGAAGGAUUGGCGCCAUAUGUUGUCUUGAGAAGGCAUGGCUACCUCUACACCAAAGUUCAAGUCAAAAUGACGGUUGGAUGGGCCAAACAUUUUCAGAAAUGAUGAAGGAGAAAUGAGGUCCAAUAAAUCUCUAAAGUACGAAAAUAAAGGGAAAAUUCUUACAAGCAAUAACUCUCUAAACGUACUUCUUACACACAAUUGGUGCCCUUAUAAAAGAAAAGGCAACAUGGCCGUUUGUUCAAAAAUCGAAGAGGCAACACUCUCCGGAUUUCGAGAAGCAGAUUUUCUUGAGUAAAAUAUGUCGACAAUUCCCACACGCAACAUCAGCACCUCAGGUACUGCAGAUAACUUUACCAAAGAUCUCUGACAAAGUUUAGACACAUAAAUUUUGAAGGUCCAGCUACCCUACCAUUACCCACAAGGGUAAAGAAACAUCACCACUACUUGAUAACUGGAAAGUCCUUGUGUGUGCCAACCUCCGUGCUCCGUGGCAAGACCGACUGGCAAAAAUGCCCAACCUUUACUCACAUCGAGAAAACACUCCCAGUAGGAUUACUUGCUCAAAAAUCGAAGAAGCAUUGCUCCCCGAAUCUCGAGAGCCAAACUCCCACCAAGAUGGCUUCCUAAAAAAUCGGAGAGGCACCACUAACUGACUAUCGAGAGCCAGACUCACAACAGGAUUGUUUUCCCAAAAAUCGAAGAGGCACCGCUCUCCAAAUCUCGAGAGCCUGACUCCCAACAGGAUUGCUUUCUUAAAAAUUGAAGAGGCACCGUUCUCCGAAUCUCGAGAAUCAGAUCCCCGACAAGAUUGCUUGUUCGAAAACCGAAGAGGCACUGCUCUCCAAACUUCGAGAGCCAGAUUUCCUUGGAUAAAGCUUAUCUGCAAUCGUCACAAGCAACAUCGGCUUUCCAGAUACUACAGACCACUUUUUCGAAGUGCUCUGAAAAAGUUAAAACACGUGAAUCUUGCAACUCCCACUACAUUGCUAUGACUGAGAAGGGUAAAGGAAUAGCGUUACUACUAGCUAUUGGGACAAUUUCUAUAUAUGUCGACCUCCAUCCUCCACAACCAGGCAUACCUGUAAAUAAAAAAAAAUGCUCAACUUUUAUUCACAUCCAAGAAGGCACUCCCAAUAGAGUCUCUCGAAAUACUCAGCUUCUUCCCCCUCCCCCCCCCCGGCGAUAAUACUUAUGCAAACAAGUCACACCAAAGUAAGAGUAUCUCAUAUCAUGAGGGUUAAAAGAAAAAGUAUCUCAUAUCGUGCUUUUUCCCUGUAUUUUCCUUUGCCCUUACUCUUACCUGCAGGACAAAGAGAAAAAACAUAAUCAGUCAGAACCUAAAAUCAAACUUCCGAUCUGGAACUGAUUGCCCGAAAUAUUUGCAUGGUUGUUUGCCUAACAUUGCUCUCGAGUACUCAUCCUCAAUUGUUGUCAAGGUCAUAAAGUCCUUCGGCAAAUACCUCAGAACAGUUAAUAUGAUAUUGACGUUUCACACUGAAGCUGCCACGCAUGGAUGAGUUGCUGAGAAGUAGUGCUUUGAAGAACCAUUUAAAUGCAAAGGUUGAAUUCCAUUCCUACAUCGAGGACAAAUGUUGUAAGAGAUUGAAACAUAAUGAUCAAUGAUGAGCUAGAACAUAUCACUACAACACGAUGCCCUUCCUGCAGAACCACACAACCCAGACAGAGGAGUCUAAAUCAAAUCCAAACCCAGCAUCGCUGCCCUAUCCGAAGAACUUGAGAAUCUUCAACAACCUUUUGCUGACACCAUCACCAAAUAGCAAAGCUUCGCCAUACCACACCCACUACUUUAUCAACAGCAAAAGUAUCCCAUAUCAUUAGGGUCGAACGUACUCUAGAUUUGAUGGACUUGUUUUGACCCUUAAAUUCUUAAGUCGGCCUUAUACUUUGGAGGAAACCAGAAAACCCUUCAACCCAAUUCAAGAAUAAGCUUGUGGAAAGUUACUUCUUCAAAAGUAAAAGUAUCUCAUAUCAUAUCUUCUCCAUUUGCUUCUCCUUAUCCAUGUUGCUGUUUACGACACAAUGAGAAGGAGAACAAUCAACCGGAAGCCGAAGUCGAACCUCUGAUCCAGGUUGCUUGCUUGGAAGUCUGAUUGCUUACCUUGUCUGUUACCUCAUUCGGCAAAUCUCCUAACUCGGCGACUUGGAUGACUCUUACUAUAAGGUUUGUAUCGCACUUGACCAAGCCAGAAAUUACAAGUAAGCUUCAAUUGAUACAUUACCUUGUGCAUCUUCAUCGAUUAAAGAUACCACCCUUGGAUGAAGGAAAAGUACUUCCAGAGAAGAUGCCACAUCUACAUAUAAGACAGAUAAGGCAAGUGAAAAUGAUACCACACUUCGGUACUUAGAAGUUUUGUGAUUACUUAAUGGCUUGGAUCUUGCAAGUCCCCAAUCGAGAAGCUUCCCUCACUCGGGAACUUAAAGGAGCACUGUUUGUACCAUACUUGACCAACCCCGAAACUACUAAGCACCGGUCAACAUUAUACCACCAAGGACCCACAAGAGUCUCCCUCCAACCAGGAGACCAAUCAGCGACACAUGUCAACAUCAGAGACCAAUCAUAACGCGACACGUGUCGAUAUCAGAGGUCAAUCACAACACGACACGUGUCAAUGUCAGAAUGAAACUAGAAACUCACUUCUAUAAAUAGAGAUCAUUCUCUCACAAUAUUUUCUAAUGUUAUUUGUACUAAAUCAUUCGCUAGUACUCACUAAAGGAGAGCUUGAACCUAUGUACUUGUGUAAACCCUUCACAAUUAAUGAGAACUCCUCUACUCCGUGGACGUAGCCAAUCUGGGUGAACCAUGUACAUCUUGUGUUUGCUUCCUUGUCUCUAUCCAUUUGCAUACUUAUCGACAUUAGUGACCGGAGCAAUCUAGCGAAGGUCACAAACUUAACACUUUCUGUUGUACCAAAGUCCUCACUGAUUUUGUGCAUCAACAUGACUCAUUUUGAUGGAAUUCUGAUGUUGAUGAAAAAGACCAUAUAUGCAUGUUUUGACUAGUUAAGAGACUAAUGGUCAUGGCAAGUGGCCUUUUACCACAAUGGUGGAAAGGUGUUGAGCCUUUCCAUAGCAGCAUUGGUUCAAAUCUUGUUCGGUGUCCAACAUCCUAAUCUAACAAAUCUAUCAUUUGACAAUAAAAAAGAGACUACUGGUCAUGAAUUUUUAGAACAUCUCUAAAGAAGAUGUCAAAUUUGAAACAUCAAAUUGAUAUUUGAUGGCUUAUGUGGCGAAUUGACAUUUUGUACAAUUUUUUUAUUCACUCGAUAUGUUAAAUGAUAAUUCCAUUCUAAAUUUUUUUUUAUCACUUUGUAGGGUCCAUUUAUUGAGGCAACCAAUCUAAUUCUUAGAAUACACAACAACAUUUAUUAUAUGCAUUAAAUGUAAUAAAAAAAAAUACUAAAUGCAUUUGACAGUAGAAGACUUUGCCUUCAAUUGACUCAACGCCAUGUAGGAAAUUGAAGGCUCAGUUGGAGAGAGUGUGCUGCCAAUUUUUACUAUUAUAUACUUAUACGACAGUUUUGACAUCUCCUUUAGCGAUACUCUUAGUUGAAGAAUCAUUACUCCAUUGAGUUAAAGUUGAUGAACUAUUUCUACAAUUUUCUCGGAUUUCAUUUGUUGUAGAAGAGAUCUAAUGUAAGUUCCAGCUAUGUGAUGGUUAGCCGUCCAUAUACACAUAGCGACACUGUGAAAGUGAUAGUGUAAAGGGAUUACAUUUGAGAGAAACUCUAAUUUGUGGAACAUUGAAUUUGUGAAACAUCAAAAGCUUGAGAGAAACUAUUUUUUUAAUUAUAAUUAAGAUAAAUAAAAUAUAUCAAAUUAAAACUUUAAAUAGUCCUGGAAAACCCUUGAAAGAAAAACAAAACAAGACAUUACAAAAAAAUUGAAAAUUAAUUUUAAGACUUAAAAGGUGUUUUUAACCUAGGAAAUUUUUGAAACAAAUUGAUCCUAUUUUGCAACGACGAGUUGGACUCAUCUCUUUUUUUCCUGUUCAGAAAGGUAUUUUGAACCAUCACUGAAACACUAUUUACACUAAAAUUCACCUUUUUGAUAUGCUCGUUCAGCCUUACAUCAUACACAAGUAAUAUUUAGUCAUUAAAACCUACAUAGUCUAUAUUUUAUCAACCAUCACGCGUGAAUGACUGAGCUUUACAAAAUCAUGCACAAAUAGAGACCAUUUUUUAAGUAUAAUUGGUUUGUGUCCCUCCAUUCUUGGAGGGUGGGGAGGGUUAUGCAUUUGCUGGUUAUUUUAUGUUGGGGGAUAGAAACCCAAUUGGGGUUCACUUUCUUUUGGGAUUUGGACAAAUGCAGACGGGGGCCUCAUGUUAUGUUCUCAAACAGGAAAGGGGUGAUUCAAGUGGUCCCAUUUGGCACUUGCUGUAUAAAAAUAAGAUGCUGGGGAGAGAUGGACUGAUGGAAGGGAAAGCUGAAUCUUUGUGUAAUCAGAUCUCAAACCUACGAGUUUUCAUUAAAGGGAGGGCUCUAUGUCCUUGCAUGUGGACCAGGACAAGGUGAUGUAAUUUGUCUAUAAAUGAUGAAACAGUCGAGUUGUGGGAAAUAUGUAGAUCGAUUGACAUGAAACCUUUUUAUCUUGUCCAAACAGUCAUCAAAUUCUAAUAUGUUGAAAAGCUGUGUGGAGAAUGGAUAUAAUUAGAUGACUAGAUUUCUUCAUAAGUAAUCCAUUUACGUACCUUAGUUAGUGGGGUGUAUAUUGUUUUUCUGCUUCUUCAUAAUCCCAAAUGAUCGUAUAACUAAUAUGGUCAUUGUUUGUACCAUACUUGACCAAUCCCGAAACUACUGAUCACGGGUCAACAUUAUACCGUCAAGGACCCAGAAGAGUUUCCCUCCAACCAGGAGGCCAAUCACAGUGCGACACGUGUCGACAUCAGAAGUCAAUCACAGCGCGACAUGUGUCAACAUCAGAAGCUAAAUGAAACUAGAAACUUUCUUCUAUAAAUAGAGAUCAUUCUCUCACAAUAUUCCUAAUGUCAUUUGUACUAAAUCAUUCACUUGUACUCACUAAAGGAGAGCUUGAACCUAUGUACUUGUGUAAACCCUACACAAUUAAUGAGAAUCUCCUCUACUCCGUGGAUAUAGUCAAUCUGGGUGAACCAUGUACAUAUUGUGUUUGCUUCCCUGUCUCUAUCCAUUUACAUACUUAUCCACACUAGUGACCGGAACAAUCUAGCGAAUGUCACAAACUUAACACUUUGUUAUACCAAAGUCCUCAUUGAUUUUGUGCAUCAACAGUUAUGAUAAGCCAAUGUUCUUUGAUCACAAACUGUUGAGAUGUGAGUGAUUAUGUGUUGACUGGUAGCCAACAAAAUACACUAAGAUAUUAUGAUACAUUUAUCGACAAUAUAGGUACUCUUUAUCAACAAAAUAUGACAUCCUGCACUAUAUGUACAAGACUAACCAUGACUCAUAAAUCCUAAAGCUACAAAGCAAGGCGCACCUCUUCAUGUGGAAACUUGGCAUACCAAUUCAUCCAAAUUACAAUAUGUAGUAUCGUUGAGUCUAUAUGUUGUAAUGUAAGUGAAUUGGUGAUAUAACGUGAUAUUAUUACUGUCAUACUAAAUUUUAUUAACAAAAAUUAAGAAUAUUGUUUUGUCCAAUCAUAACUAUUUUUGUUGACGUUUGCAUGGCACAACCAAAAUCGUAUGUCACGUUGCACUUAUUCUCUAAAGCAAACCUAACUCACUUUAAACUCCUACUGCACUCUCCACGUAUAUUUCAAGUACUUUUUAAGAAGUUAUUUGUAUCAUAUAGAAAACCUUACUCAGAUCGCUACAAUUAGAAGAAAUUAUUAGGUAGUAUAUAUAGGGGUGUGAUAUCCACACAUCUUUUUUUACUUCUCACACACCCUUCUAAUUUUUGGCCGUCGGAUCGGAUAAAAUGAAGAAGAUCAACGAACAUAAAUUAACAAGGGGUGUGUGAGAAGUAAAAAAGGGUGUGUGGAUAGCACUAUCCACACAUCCCUUUUUACCACACAUCCUUUUUUACUUCUCACACACCCUUUGAUAAUUUAUGUCCGUUGAUCUUCUUCAAUUCAUCCGAUCCAACUGUCGAAAAUUAAAAAAGUGUGUAAAAAGUAAAAUGGGAUGUGUGGAUAUCACACCCCUAUAUAUAUUUAUUUGAUGGUCUGAUGGAUGAUGGAUCUCUGUUCGCAAGAGUAAUAAUUCUUCACAAGUUCGCAUCAGAAACAUUGUUAUCAUGUCCUUUAUCUAGUUGUCAUCAUCAUAAGUUAAGGAAAUACCAAAGUAUAUUAGCUUUAGAUACGUUUAACAAAACUAUUCUCUUUUUGGUUUAUAUAUAACCGCCCAACAGUACGUAUUAUUAUCUUCGAAUAUCAUGUGUACGCGUACAUUAGAAAAAUAAAAAGUAAAACAAUUGUUUCUCACAACGGAAAUUCCUAUUGAGUAGUUCGAUAUGUUUGCUCGUAUUAGCAAUAUUAUUUGUUAUCUGGAAAUAGUUGAUGAACCAUUAAGUUCAAUUGAAAAAAAAAAAGUAGGAAGAAUUAAUAGUGGGUUUUACAAAUAUGUUUUCAAUUAAUCAUGAACAGAAACUCAACCAGUAAAAGAAGGAAUGAGUAGAGGAGACUGAUUGUGCCAAAUGAUCCUCCUACUCCAAGCUGCACUGGUUUGUGUGCGUACUCUUAUGAAUUGCAGACUUGCAGAGAGUUGUCCAGCUGCUCUGGCGUAUAUACGUACUUCAAGCUUCACUUACACCAUGUAUGGUAGAGAAUCCCACCACAAAGAAAGAUCACACAACACAAAAAAGGGAUCAUCAAUCAUGAUUGCUUAGAUGAUAGAGUGCCGUGUACAUCAUAAGAUAUAGUUUUCUUUUCGUCCUUUGUGCGGUUACAAACUUACGAGUUUUCGUACUCGAAUUUCAUGUAUUUAUUAAAUUUUCAAGACAAAAGUAGAGCCUUGUACACUGAAUUUGCAAUUAACAAGUCAUUAAGGUGAUCUUUAGACAUGCAGAGGUAAACUUAGCGUCGAAUUUAAGCUAUGUUUUAGCUCUUCAAAAAUUAGAUUUUGUAAAGAAUAGUUCAUGUCGUCUUCAUCUCCAACAUUGGAUGGCUAUAUUUCAAACCCCUUAAUAUAUGUUAUAUUGUAGUGCUAAGUAAAAAUUAUGAUACAACACAUUAUAGAAAUAUAAAUCAAUUUUAAGGAAAUAUGAGGGAGGCUUGUAGGCUAUGACUCACUAAUCAUGAUGCGGGAGCCAAGGCUUUAAAAAAUUAAAAAAAAAUUGAAAACUUCUCGUUGGCAUUGGAAAUUCAAAUAAUAAAGGCAUUGUAAUUUAUUUUAAUGACAUAGGAACUUGUUAAGUCAUUUCUAGAGAGUUUUUUAGGAAGUUGUGGUCUAUUUAUGCUUCUUUAUCUUUAGUUCCUUUAAAUAUUGAUGUAUUAGAAGCCAUUGCUAGACUUGAAUGAAUUAAAAUAUAUUUUGCUUUGUGCAAUUGAAGUGAGUGAUUUCUCCUUCCCCAAUCAAGCAUUUGGCUUGGUCAUCCAUGAUUAACGACGUGAGAUAGCUCCGUUGCCCCUGGUUGAGCGAAUCCCAGGUUAUCUAUUCCCUUCUCCUCGAUACCCUUGGUUCUGUCCUGCAUCAAAUGGCAUUAGAGCAGGUUUUCCGCUGCAGUUGAAAAUCAUGGCUAUGAUUAUCAAUCCGUUUCAAGAUCACAUCGUUGAAGAGAUUAGUUUCAUCGAUUGGAAUUCACCACCAAUUUAUGAUGAAUACGUUGAUGAAGACGAAGUCAAAAAUCAUUUUGUGAAUGAAGUUAAUGACAUCGAGCCUUCCAUGCAUCAAAUGGUAAUCUGUUACUGCUAUUCAUCUUUUGGAUGCUACAAGGAUCUUCAAAGUACUCCAAGCAUGAUGCAAAUGGAGAUGCUUCAGACCUACAAGGAAUGGAUGAUGGCAAGGUGCUACUGAUGUCCCAAAUGAAUUUUGAAAAGAAUUUCAGACAGUCUACAAUUUUUGUGACUUCAACAUGGAUGGAACAAGGCGAUGUCCCUCCUUCCUCAAGCCCAGCAAUGAUGCUUAAAGAGGCCACUCAUGUGAUAAGUUGCGGUUAUGAAGACAAAACUGAAUGGGGUUUAAAGAUAGGUUGGAUUUACAAAUUUAUCAUAGAGAGCAUUCUAAGGGGUUUCAAGAUGCAUUCUAGUGUGGUUGGAGGUCAUUUUCAAUCAAAAAGAAGGAACCAGGGCCUACAACGUUUGAAAGAAUGGGGAAAUGGUAUUUUCAUGAAUAUUUUGUGGCUUGGAACACUUUGAUCGCCGUGAACUUCAUUUUACUAUUGUGGUUGUUGUGGAAGAAUCUGCAAGGUCAUCCCAAAGAUCGAGGAAGACCAAAUGGAACUUGAGGACGAGUUUUCUUCGAGAAUGGGAGAAUGAUGCGGGAGCCAAGGCUUAAAAAAACAAAAAAAUAAACACAAAUUGAAAACUUCUCGUUGGCAUCGGAAAUUCAAAUAAUAAAGGCAUUGUAAUUUAUUUUAAUGACAUAGGAACUUGUUAAGUCAUUUUUAGAGAGUUUUUUAGGAAGUUGUGGUCUAUUUAUACUUCUUUAUCUUUAGUUCCUUUAAAUAUUGAUGUAUUAGAAGCCAUUGCUAGACUUGAAUGAAUUAAAAUAUAUUUUGCUUUGUGCAAUUGAAUUGAGUGAUUUCUCCUGCCCCAAUUAAGCAUUUGGCUUGGUCGUAUGAGUGAAUCCACGAUUAGCGACGUGAGCUAGCUUCGUUGCCCCUAGUUGACGAAUCUCAGGUUAUCUAUUCCCCUCUCCUCGAUACCCAUGGUUCUGUCCUGUAUCAAAUCAAGUGCGAGAUUUCUCCUCUAGAUCAUUGAUUAAGGAGUUCAUAUUUCUCUGAGCUUAUCAUUUAUAAGAAAGAGAUGUUGUAACAAAGUAUCCUAAAAUGAAAUCCUUGGUACCGAAAUGAUUAGUCACUUCUUCAUUCAGUACAGUUUUUUUUUCUUUUCUUUUUUUUUUUUUGCUUCAAAAGGGAUCAUGGCUUCGCCACGGUAAUCUACCUUUUUGAAGGCCAGAAAGACUCACAAAGGCAUUUCAGCCUCUCUGGCCCAUCGUGCUAUUCACAAGUGCAAGGAAUUGAACCCAAGAGAUACCGUGUGAAAUACAUAUCUUAAAUUUAUCCCCAACCACUAGACCACCCUGUGGUGGUAUCAUUCAGUAUAGUUAAUUUGAUAUUUAAUUGAUAUUUCCAACUCAUUUAGUUAUAUACUUUAGUUUAGAUUAAAUUUCCAAACCACGUAGUUCUUUUCCCAAUUGACUUGAUCUGGUCACGGAUUAGUAAUAGAACUUUGAAAUUAUUGAUAAUUAUGUGACAGAGAAAAUCCUUAAAACAGCCCGCCAGAAGAUAAGUGCUAGUUAAUAGAGGUAGGAGCAAACAUUCAUGAAAUGAAAUGUCAGGUUCAUCAGUCUUCUCCCCCACUAUAACUAAUUGAGCUGUAUGUUGAUUAAUUAAGAAGAAUCAAGUAGUUAGGCCCUUCCAUCAUCUUCACCUACUACUAUAAGUUCCAACAAUUAUAAUACUAAUCUAAUUGGGCCAACAGAAAAUUAAUGUAACACCUCAUUCACAACGUACCAUAACUAAUUUAAUGUGAUAUUCUGCAUCCAAUAGGAAGUUUUCAAAUUGAAAUCCAACUUGCUUUAUAUGUAUAGGGUGAAAACGUCAAACAUGUUUGGUGGGUUUUAAGUCAGAUUUGGGUAUUUUAAGUUGGGUUAGAAGGUUUAUUAGUUUUCAGCCAUUAGAUUAAUGCAACGGGCGCGUAGAGUGGUUAGUUUUCUAUUACAUUUUUAACUAGUUAGCGCUUGAACACUCUUGCAUAAUACGUAACAAAUAUAAUGUUUGGUUCAAUAUCGAGGUUGAGGAUGAGAAUUAUAAAUUUUCCAGUUUGAGAUAUAUGGUAUUCGAAUUAAAAGUUUUCUAUCAGAAUUAAAACCAGAUCAAGGAAACAAGAAUAUAGUUGAUAGCCAACUAGGUUAAGUUGGGCAGUUUUGUGUCUUAGAAGAAACGCCGACUCUCGUUCACAUCCAUAUUGAGUUAAGAAAUUAAAGUACAAAAUGCCUAUGAGUCGAACAAAGGAACGUUGAUCUUGGGAAAUUUACAACAGGACGAGAACCUGAAAUCAUCAUUUCAAAUGUGUAGGUUGUUAUAUAUGUGCAUCACAUGACCUCUAUGAUAGCAGUGUUUAUCUAGGAUGCGUGAGAGUGUGCAACGGGCUAGGGCAGCUUGACCAUGCCCAGUUUAAUGUCAACCUAGCACAACACAUCAUGAUUUUUUGAGGACUAGGGCAAGCAUGGGACACGCCAUGGCGUGAGACACGAUUUUCGUUGCACGUCUCUGACGCGGGCACGAGCUCAUUGUGAGCUGGACUCGUGCGAAACCCUACCUACCUCCAAACUACAUGCAACUAAAACGUAGUUUGAAUUAUAUGAUAUCCAAAAUAUCAGAUUUAUAGGUUUACCCUCCCUAUAGCUGGAUGACAUCCCGACUACGGGAGAGGCAAGAAUUCAUUCCAGGGAUUUCAAGUAAUUGACCGUGUCAAGGAAGAGUUGGAGAAUAUUUGCCCCGGUGUAGUGUCAUGUGUGGACAUUCUCGUGGUGGCUGCGAUAGACGCCGUUCUGAUAUUCACUCUUAAAAUAAUUAGUUCUCCGCUUCAACUUUAUUUUACUUUACUUUCCACACACCAUUUCUGGCUUCGUCACUGUUUGGACCUGAUUUUACACAUCGGCCUAAGCAAUCGAGGCCGUUGAGUAAGCAUGGUUCUCAACCGUUGGAUAAGAAAGUUUAGAUAUUAUUGUUAAGAGAUAAUAUUAUGAUUUUUAAUCAUAAUAAUUAUUUUUUUUAUAAGUUAUCCCGGUUUUUUAUGCAAAAUAAAUGGGAUGGAGGCAAGUAGAGUUGUGAUGGGGACGUGAGCUUUGAAUCAUGUUGGUUUGUUUUGCUGGACAUGCAUGCAUGGGAUGUAAAGAUAAUGAAGUGAUAGGGGAUAAAUCCAAACAUGCCAAAACGUGUAAUUUGCAAAAGAAUUGUGCAAUAUGGAGAUUCUAUCCUAAUGCAUGGUUUUUUGGGUUUGGUUUUGUGCACGUGGCAUGCGACAAUGGAGAUGAUGGUUUUGCAUGGUGAUGGCAAUAUGGGUUUAAAGGUUUCUCAUGUUUUUUUAAUAAGAAGCCUAGGUGGGUUAGAUCUCUAGUGAGAUGUGAUAAAGCCUAGGUAGGCUUUAUUUAUCUGAAGGAUAUGUGCGGCGUAUUUGAUACGGGAUCAGGGUCAAUUCCACAAAAUAGAGUUGCAGUUGGACUCUACAAAAUUAUUUGGCCGCGUCACACAACAUUUGCUCCUAUAAAUACAGAGAUAGUGGCAACGGAAGAAAGACCCCUGCAAAUCAAUACAAAAUUGCCCUGCGCAAAUUCUCACAACUUGUGAUUUUUCUUUUUCCUUUUUCGCUGACACAUCUUCCGUUGGCGUCAACAGCACUGUGGAAGCAACCGGUGAUAUCUUAAGUCGGCAUAGAUAGCUCUGUCACCGUAGAAUCAAUCGGUCUCGCAGUAUCUUCCGUUGGCAUCAACAGCACUGCGGCGAGAACGGUUAAUUACCUAUCCAAGUCUCGGUCGAGAAGGGUUUCUGAACCCUUAUUGGUCGAUGUCAUCUCAUCAGCCUUCUCGGCGAAGUGAGGUGUUACACGUUAUUACGUUCGGCAUAUUGAAAGCCGAAUUUGAUAUUGAACUUCGUAAGAAUAGUAACCUUGUCUUCAGGUUCGAGAGCCCAAGAGGCCGAGACGUGUUCCUUUCUCGGCCGCAAUCGCAAGACGCAGAAGUCAGCCGCGCACCCAACGCAACAUCAACAAAUUUACUCCUUGGCCGAGCUCGGCCGACGAGUUGGCACGCCCUGCAUUCACCGAAGGACGUAGUUAGCUCAUUAAUUAUUCGGCCUGCACGCCACGUAGGCUUUGUAGUUUUUAGGGUCAACAUUUUGGCACGCCCAGUGGGACCCAGUGCUAAACUACGAAGUUCACAUGAUCUAUCUCGAUCCGGCUUCAAGGGAUGAGUGUUAUCGCCUAUUAAAGGAGCAAAAACAACUUCUCGAAAGUUUGAGAAGAAUUUCUGAAAGGCAAAAGGCCGAGGGGCAAAUCUCCACUCCGGCCACAACCAAUAUUCGGCCUAAGAAAAGUGAUAAUUUGGCCGAAGAACAAAGGCCACUUGUUGUUUCGGUAGAGACUGAAAAUAUAGUAGGCCUAGAAGAAAAAAUUCAAGUCCCUAAGCUAUAUACAAAAAUUGACUUGGAAAAAGAUUCGUCAAAAGAAUGCUCUAGUGACGAACGAGGCCGAAAUAUUGGCCUAGCCCGAGAAACUACGCCAAUUGAUAUGAUUAUUGGCAAUAAAGCCGAUAUGGAGAAAUCCUGUUCGGCUAAGUUAUUUGAAUUAAAAGCCGAAAUUAUGCUUGGGGGGCUGUUUGGACUCAAAUUUACACCAUCGGCCCAUGUAAUCAAGGCCGUUGAGUGAGCAUAGUUCUCGACCGUCAGAUGGAAAAGUGAAGAUAUUUUUGUUAAAGGAUAAUAUUAUGAUUUUUUAUCAUAAUAAUUAUUUUUUAAUGAUGAAUUAUCUUGAUUUUUUCCUGGUACAAGAUGGAUGAGAUGUAAAUGUAGUUCAAUUUGAUUUGGGAUUCUUGGAGUUAAGACGCGUGGUGGAUUGGGAGCAUCAGAGCACGUUAUUAAGAGUCCUAAUACACUACUGCAUUGUUGGCAAAUGGAAAUUGGCAGAGAUAUUAAUGCUUGCAUAAAGAUGAAGAUGUUAAAUUGGAGAUGGAUAGCCACGUGUGAGUGGAUUUGGUGGAGCCAUGCAUGCAUAUCAUUAUUUCAAGUCAAGAUGCUUAUCGGCACUAAUUGGUAUAUGCUAAUAUGCUAUUAAUUAGCAAGAGGUGGUUGCAUGUUGGUAAGUGAUAACAAUCUUUUUGCAUGAGAUUGUUAUGAAUGAGGACUUUGAUGUUGGCGGCAGCUUUACAACACGAGCCGUCAGGAUGAGGAUGAUACUUAUAAAUACAGAGUCGCAAACAACGGGUAGGACCCCUGCAAAUCAAUACAAAAUUGCCCUGCGCAAAUUCUCACAACUUGUGAUUUUUCUUUUUUCCUUUUUUCGCUGACACAUCUUCCGUUGGCAUCAACAGCACUGUGGAAGCAACCGGUGAUAUCUUAAGUCGGCAUAGAUAGCUCUGUCACCGUAGAAUCAGUCGGUCUCGCAGUAUCUUCCGUUGGCAUCAACAGCACUGCGGCGAGAACGAUUGAUUAUCUAUCCAAGUCUCGAUCGAGAAGGAUUUCUGAAUCCUUGUUGGUCGAGGUCAUCUCAUCAGCCUUCUCGGCGAAGUGAGGUGUUACAAGUGACUACAUUCGGCACGUUGAAAGCCGAAUUUGAUAUUGAGCUUCGUAAAAAUGGUAACCUUGUCUUCAGGUUCGAGAGCCCAAGAGGCCGAGACGUGUUCCUUUCUCGGCCGCAAUCGCAAGACGCAGAAGUCAGUAGCGCGACCCAACGCAACAUCAACAAAUUUACUCCUCGGCCGAGCGCGGCCGACGAGUUGGCACGCCCUGCAUUCACCGAAGGACGUAGUUAGCUCAUUAAUUACUCGGCCUGCGCGCCACGUAGGCUUGGUAGUUUCUAGGGUCAACAUUUUGGCACGCCCAGUGGGACCCAGUGCUAAUACUACGAAGUUCAUAUGUUAUAUCAAGAUUCCAAUCUGGCUCAACGUAGCUGAUUGUACGAGCUCCUGGAGGAAUUGAAAAAACAUAAUGAGGAAUGCAAAAAAUCUUUGGAAGCAGAAAAAGUUCUUCGUGGCCAUAAAGAGAUGCAAAAGUCAUUCGCUUGCAUGGUGAAAAUAAAAGCUCCUGUUACCCUGCAUGGGUAAAUGAAGACAGGGCUCGAUUUAAUGCCUGGCUAGAUGAAGAACGUUUUCCUUACGUUUCUGAUUACAGAUCAAUUCCAUUUGAAAAAUGGUUAGGUCCAAAGGCCGGGGGGCAAUUUUUCGCUCCGGCCACAAUCAAAAUUCGGCCUCAAAAAAUUGUUAAGGCGGCCGAAGAAAUACUUAGGCCACCUGUUGUUUCGGUCGAGAUUCAAAGUGUGGUAGGCCUAGACGAAAAAGUUGAAGUUUCUGAGCUAAAAAUCGACUCAGAAAAUGAUUCGUCAGAAGAGUGCUCCAAUGACGAACAAGACCAAUACACGACUUCAAACCAUAAAAUCACAUCGAUUGAUAUGGUAAUUGAAGACAUAGGUCUAGCCGAAAAAAUCACGCCAAUUGAUCUGAUUAUUGGUGAUAAAGCCGAUAUGGAGAAAUCCCGUUCGGCUAAGUUGCUCGAGUUAAAAGCCGAAAUUGGUGAAAUAAUUAUGCCCAGGGGGCAUAAUACUUGUUCCACACAUUCGGCGGCUGAAAAUGCAAAAUAUUUUGCCGAGUCAAAAAUAUUUGGGAAAAAUUCUUUAUUCGGCCUAGAGCGAAAUCAAUUUGAAAAUUUUGAUGCAAAAAGAUCUUGGCUUGGAAUAAAACAUCGUUGGUCUCCUCCUGAUUAUGGUUCGGCCACUUUUAUUUUCGUUUGCUAAAAUAUUAAAUAAAUUAUUUUCUUAACUAUUCGGCUUUUUAGGCCGAUGCAUAAACAUAAAAAGGGGGUAGUAUUGUUUUGACCGAUUUGUGUUCGGAUUUAAGAUUUAUUCGGCAUAUAACAUAUCAUGCAGAAAUUAAUCAUGGCAUGAACUGUUCUAGCACGAAGUGUUACAAUUUGGCGUCAAAGCAGGAGUUGAAUCAUGGCAUCUGCAAUUAGAGUCUCGGCCAAAAGAGUGGUUGCCGAGCCAUUCAAUGCACCUGGGAUUGGUUUGGCCGAAUAUAUAUAUAUAAGAGUUUAGCCGAACUCUCGACUACCUUACAAAAGCCUCGGCCAAAGCUGCAUAUAUAUGAUUCGGCCAAAACUGUAUAUAUAUAUAUAUAUAUAUAUAGGAAUUGCUUAAGGGGAGGGAUCCCCAUUUUUUCAAAAAAAUGGGGACACACUCCCCACCGUUGGAUUUGAAUUAAAUGAAAUCCUGUGGUUGAGAUUCUAUGGCCUGUGUUUUAAUCUCAACCACACAAUUUCAUUAAAGUCAAUCUAACGGUGGGGAGCGUGUCCCCAUUUUUUUUGAAAAAAUGGGGAUCCCUCCCCUUAAGCUCCCUGUAUAUAUAUAUAUAUAUAUAUAUAUAUAAAGAAAAUGGGGAUUCUCGGCCACAACUAUAUAUAUAUAUAUAUAUAUAUAUAUAUUGGGGGGGUUGUUUUUAAUGAGGGCAUUAGAGACUCGGUGGACGUCAAAUCUUGGUCAAAUGAGUGGGUCUGAGUUUCAAUGGCCAUGUGGGGUCGAGGGUUCAUGAUUUAUCUUGGUCAUGAUAGAUGAGUGAUAUUCAAUUGGAGGAAUUCAGCACAGUAUUUUGCCGAAUAAGUUUUUAUUCGGCGGUGGUUUCUCCAAUAAUUCUCGGCCAUAUGUUUUUCUCGGUCACUCGGAGGUAGUCAGUCAUCGGUAUUAUUAUUGGUAAAUCAGUAUUAUUGGAUGAUCAGACUUGGUGCAUACAGCUGAGCUAUCAGGGAUAAGGCCGAGUAAUCAACCGAGCUACCAAGAAUUAGUCAUUGCUGAGCCUUGCAUAUAGAAUGAUGGCUACGAACAAUUAAUUUCCUUAAAUAUUCGGCUUAUGAGCCGAAGUUCAAGGAAAUUGGGGGGCAAUGUUUGGACUCAAAUUUACACCAUCGGCCCAUGUAAUCAAGGCCGUUGAGUGAGCAUAGUUCUCGACCGUCAGAUGGAAAAGUGAAGAUAUUUUUGUUAAAGGAUAAUAUUAUGAUUUUUUAUCAUAAUAAUUAUUUUUUAAUGAUGAAUUAUCUUGAUUUUUUCCUGGUACAAGAUGGAUGAGAUGUAAAUGUAGUUCAAUUUGAUUUGGGAUUCUUGGAGUUAAGACGCGUGGUGGAUUGGGAGCAUCAGAGCACGUUAUUAAGAGUCCUAAUACACUACUGCAUUGUUGGCAAAUGGAAAUUGGCAGAGAUAUUAAUGCUUGCAUAAAGAUGAAGAUGUUAAAUUGGAGAUGGAUAGCCACGUGUGAGUGGAUUUGGUGGAGCCAUGCAUGCAUAUCAUUAUUUCAAGUCAAGAUGCUUAUCGGCACUAAUUGGUAUAUGCUAAUAUGCUAUUAAUUAGCAAGAGGUGGUUACAUGUUGGUAAGUGAUAACAAUCUUUUUGCAUGAGAUUGUUAUGAAUGAGGACUUUGAUGUUGGCGGCAGCUUUACAACACGAGCCGUCAGGAUGAGGAUGAUACUUAUAAAUACAGAGUCGCAAACAACGGGUAGGACCCCUGCAAAUCAAUACAAAAUUGCCCUGCGCAAAUUCUCACAACUUGUGAUUUUUCUUUUUUCCUUUUUUCGCUGACACAUCUUCCGUUGGCAUCAACAACAGCACUGUGGAAGCAACCGGUGAUAUCUUAAGUCGGCAUAGAUAGCUCUGUCACCGUAGAAUCAGUCGGUCUCGCAGUAUCUUCCGUUGGCAUCAACAGCACUGCGGCGAGAACGAUUGAUUAUCUAUCCAAGUCUCGGUCGAGAAGGAUUUCUGAAUCCUUGUUGGUCGAGGUCAUCUCAUCAGCCUUCUCGGCGAAGUGAGGUGUUACAAGUGACUACAUUCGGCACGUUGAAAGCCGAAUUUGAUAUUGAGCUUCGUAAAAAUAGUAACCUUGUCUUCAGGUUCGAGAGCCCAAGAGGCCGAGAUGUGUUCCUUUCUCGGCCGCAAUCGCAAGACGCAGAAGUCAGUAGCGCGACCCAACGCAACAUCAACAAAUUUACUCCUCGGCCGAGCGCGGCCGACGAGUUGGCACGCCCCGCAUUCACCGAAGGACGUAGUUAGCUCAUUAAUUACUCGGCCUGCGCGCCACGUAGGCUUGGUAGUUUCUAGGGUCAACAGGGGCAUAAUAAUUGUUCAGCGCAUUCGGCAGCUGAUAAAAAAUCUUUCGUCAAGUCAAACAUAUUUGGAGAUAGUAUUUUAUUCGGCCUUGCAAAAAUUCAAAGUGAAAGUUUUGAUACAAAAAGCCUUCGGCUUGGAAUAAAACAUCGUUGGCCUCCUCCAUUUAUAGUAGGGCCACUUUUGUUUUCUUUUGCUACAAAAUAAGAAUAAAUUAUUUUCUUAACCAUUCGGCUUUUUAGGCCGAUGCUUAAGAAAAUAAAGGGGGCAAUAAGAUGGUGCGGACUUAGAAAAACAAGAAAAAACAAGAUGGUGUACUCGGCAGACAAUUUUGGUCAAAUAAUGGUGUAUUUGGCAGACAGUUUUGGUCGAAUGAAUUUGCGAGAGCAUGCAUGACAAUUGUUCGGCAGACAGUUUUGGUCAAAUGAAUUUAUGGGAGCAUGCAUGGUUGCGAAGCUUGCUCAAUUCAGUUUCGAUGUGCGGUUUAAUAUAUAUAUAUAUAUAUAUAUAUAUAUAUAUAUAUAUAUAUAUAUAUGUCAGAAUGACCCAUCACAUGAAACAGAAAGAGAGACGCAUACGGAAAAGACAAAGGAAUAUUCAUGAAGUUAUGGUAGGCUUCCAUAUGGGCUAACAUUUUCGUUUGGUGAUGUAGUGAUCUGUGAAUUCCUAACAGCAUUAUUUGGCCGAAUACAAAUCUUUGGCCGAAUAAAACAUAGUUCGGCCGAAUAGAAUGGGUUAUAUAUAUAUAUAUAGGCUCUACAGCCAGUUCUUCUCGGUCUCGGCCCCAUUUACUCUCGAUCCCAGUAUUUUUGACCGAUACUAGUGUUUUCUCGACCCCGACAGUUGAGAGUUGGAGUAGUUCACGACACUGGCAGAGGGAGGUUAUGACAUUGGCAGAACAUAGGUGAUUUUAAUACCGAGAGACAAAAUUUGUUUCGGCAAUACGACGAAGUGUUGUUGGCUACGAGCAAUUAAUUUCCUUAACCAUUCGGCUUACGAGCCAAAGCUCACGGAAACUGGGGGGCAAUGUUUGGACCUGAUUUUACACAUCGGCCUAAGCAAUCGAGGCCGUUGAGUAAGCAUGGUUCUCAACCGUUGGAUAAGAAAGUUUAGAUAUUAUUGUUAAGAGAUAAUAUUAUGAUUUUUAAUCAUAAUAAUUAUUUUUUUUAUAAGUUAUCCCGGUUUUUUAUGCAAAAUAAAUGGGAUGGAGGCAAGUAGAGUUGUGAUGGGGACGUGAGCUUUGAAUCAGGUUGGUUUGUUUUGCUGGACAUGCAUACAUGGGAUGUAAAGAUAAUGAAGUGAUAGGGGAUAAAUCCAAACAUGCCAAAACGUGUAAUUUGCAAAAGAAUUGUGCAAUAUGGAGAUUCUAUCCUAAUGCAUGGUUUUUUGGGUUUGGUUUUGUGCACGUGGCAUGUGACAAUGGAGAUGAUGGUUUUGCAUGGUGAUGGCAAUAUGGGUUUAAAGGUUUCUCAUGUUUUUUUAAUAAGAAGCCUAGGUGGGUUAGAUCUCUAGUGAGAUGUGAUAAAGCCUAGGUGGGUUAGAUCUCUAGUGAGAUGUGAUAAAGCCUAGGUAGGCUUUAUUUAUCUGAAGGAUAUGUGCGGCGUAUUUGAUACGGUAUCAGGGUUUAUCUGAAGGAUAUGCGCGGCAUAUUUGAUACGGGAUCAAGGUCAAUUCCACAAAAUAGAGUUGCAGUUGGACUCUACAAAAUUAUUUGGCCGCGUCACACAACAUUUGCUCCUAUAAAUACAAAGGUAGUGGCAACGGAAGAAAGACCCCUGCAAAUCAAUACAAAAUUGCCCUGCGCAAAUUCUCACAACUUGUGAUUUUUCUUUUUCCUUUUUCGCUGACACAUCUUCCGUUGGCGUCAACAGCACCGUGGAAGCAACCGGUGAUAUCUUAAGUCGGCAUAGAUAGCUCUGUCACCGUAGAAUCAAUCGGUCUCGCAGUAUCUUCCGUUAGCAUCAACAUCACUGCGGCGAGAACGGUUGAUUACCUAUCCAAGUCUCGGUCGAGAAGGGUUUCUGAACCCUUAUUGGUCGAGGUCAUCUCAUCAGCCUUCUCGGCGAAGUGAGGUGUUACACGUUAUUACGUUCGGCAUAUUGAAAGCCGAAUUUGAUAUUGAACUUCGUAAGAAUAGUAACCUUGUCUUCAGGUUCGAGAGCCCAAGAGGCCGAGACGUGUUCCUUUCUCGGCCGCAAUCGCAAGAUGCAGAAGUCAGCCGCGCACCCAACGCAACAUCAACAAAUUUACUCCUCGGUCGACGAGUUGGCACGCCCCGCAUUCACCGAAGGACGUAGUUAGCUCAUUAAUUAUUCGGCCUGCGCGCCACGUAGGCUUUGUAGUUUUUAGGGUCAACAGUCACAUUUCAGGUGUCGGCUAACACUACUUAUUUUCGGUGUCCACUUGAAUAUAUGGGUCAGGGUGUGUCAUAAUGAACGCAGGCGAGCAUGGAUUCGCAACGGGGGUUCAAAAUCAAGUAGAUCCGAAUUGAAUCUCACAAAAACCCGACUGGAUUAUCAUCGGGAAGACUGUAGGCUCUCGAGGAUGGGUGGUUUCACCAGAAAAUGGUCAAACAAGGCCGGGGACAGGGACGACGCAAAAAUGGCAUCAUUUGGUCCUAGGGUUUCAGAAUAAGAGCAGCUAGGCUCCUUGUGGCUUGCGACGCAGCUUGGCGACUCGGCUUACACGCUUCAGGUCGUGGCUCGCGCGGGAGGUUGCAGCAACCCUAAUUUUCUUCUUUCUUUCUGUUCUCACACAAUCAUUAAUUCACCACAACAACAUAUAAGCAAAAUAAUAUUAUAAUUCGAAAAGCAUAAAAUUGGGUUCAUGCACUAUGUUGAAGAUUUCAUGCAAUUAGAGCUGGAAAAAAAAUCAAAAUUGAAACCGUAUUUUAGAAGUUACUUAGAUUGUAUGAUCAAAAUUUUGAGCUGUUUUGUAGCAGAAAAUAGCCUCUAGAUUCAUAGCGCAACGUCUAGAGUGUGCUGAUAACAUUUUGUUUCAUAUUUUACUAAAAGAAAGGGAAAUGGUGUGGUGAUAGUGGUGGAGAAAAAGACUCGGAAAAAUUGGUGUAUGUUCCCUUGUGCCAAUGCCUUUAUUUAUAGUAAACAGAAAGAAGAAGCAAACUUGCUCACCAAAAACACAUAGUCUAAUAGAAAAAAAAAAUCAUCUAAAUUACAUAGAAAUCCUAAUUCAAAUCUACCAAAAUUUACCGAAUUAUACUACAUCAAUAUUAAAUGUAACAAUAUUGACUAUGAUCCUACAGUUUUAUUUGCCAGUGUAUGUCUUUUAGCUAGCUUUAUAAUAACUUAUCAAUUUGAAUUUUUUGUCCCAACAAGUAAGCUAAUAUAUAUUAAAAAAUUAGUAUGUGUACACACACAAGAGAGCCAUAUAGUCUUUGGUCUUAUUGUCUCAAAAGUCAGAAGAGAAGACCCGAAGAACGAGCACUCCUCCAUAGUCCACAUUUCUCUACGGUCAUAUUCGGCGGACAAAAUUCUAUGCUCCAACGUCUUCGCUCUCCUUUUUUUUUUUUUUUUUUUUUUUUUUUUUUUUUUUUUUUUUUUUUUUUUUUUUUUUUUUUUUUUUUUUUUUUUUUUUUUUUUUUUUUAGCAAAUGAUAUUAUUUAUAUUAAAUGAUUGAGAUAACAUGUCAAAUUUCACACGUAACUAGCUAUAAUAAUGUUAUUUAAAUUCAUCUUUGACGAGAAUUGAAACUAAGACCUUACUUAUAAGUGAAAAUUAAUAUCAUUAACUCGUAGUACUAAAUAACACUUUAAUCUUUAAAAUUUACAAUCAAACUAGAUUUUUUUUCUCCUUUCUAUAUCCCGUGUUCCAAUUUCCACAUCCACACUUACAAAGUCGUACACGAUGACAUAGCACCAUACCCAUAUAUGGCAUUUGAUGUUUCUAGUCCUCGACUAACAUGAAACGUACAGUCGAUUCUUUCCCUUAGUCCCACUAGUCACAUGUGAUUCCUAUUCUUUUAUAAACAACUUUUUUUUAUUUAUUUUUUUUCAGCCAAAGAAGUUAAUUAAAAUUUUCAAACUGAAAAAUUAUUUAAUCAAUUACAAUAGCAUAAUAUUCAAACUGGAAUUUUUUUUUUUUUAGAGAAUGAUUUUCUACUCAAGAGGUGUGGGGAUUGAACCAUGCCACAUAAGGGGUUAGCUCUUAACUAAAUAUCAAACUCAACUCGAAUAUAAUACAUCAUCGCGAUCCAUAUGAGCAAAACCUGAGACGACUCACUUGAAAAUAGAGAUAAUUAUCACUAAAUCAUAGUACUAGCUGGUCACUUUAAUACAGUACUCACACUUGUAGGCUUUGGCUACACUAGCAUCAAUUAACUCUUGAUAUAACGUAAUUUUACUUCUUAAUAUUAUUCCCAAUUGAUUAACAAAACUACUAUAACAAAAACAAAUAAUAUAACUAAAAUAUGGACUUACGAAAAAUAAAAGAAAAUGAUUUUCGUACAAUUUUCCUCACUCUACGCAUCUCUAUUUAUUUUAAUCUAUCGAUUCUCAUUUAUUUCAUUUAAUUCAAAUACUAGAAAUAAAGUGGCAUUAAGACUAAGAAGGUACAAAUCCCAUCAGCUCAUGGGCAUUAGUGGAAUUUCGCCCUUCUUUAACUGCAUUGUCCCUCCAUAUGCAAGUUAAUUUCACGCGGAUACAAACCCAAUACUUAACUAAGCAACAACAGGCCCACAUUUGACCAACAACUAAUUUAGUCGUAUUUACAUACACACCCCUGUCCCACCACCACCAAGUCAAAACGACGACGUCACCUUCGUCCUCAAAAACUCCUCCAACCUCCACUUCCUUCCAAAACACAACAAACUCAAACCUCUCCGUCUGAGAAACUCUGGAGCACCAAACAAUCAACUCGCCACUAAAAAUGGGGAGGGAGCGGGACCAUCUCUACAUCACCGUUCCCAACCUCUUCCGCUGCCCCAUCUCCAUGGACGUCAUGCGCUCCCCCGUCAGCCUCUGCACCGGCGUCACCUACGACCGCGCCAGCAUCCAGCACUGGCUCGAAUCCGGCCACGACACCUGCCCCGCCACCAUGCAGAUCCUCCAGUCCAAAGACGUCAUCCCCAACCUCACCCUCCGCCGUCUCAUCAACCUCUGGGCCCAGUCCCACGGCCCUUCCUCGCCGGCCUCCUCUCCCUCUCUCUCCUCCCAGCACCUCGCCUCCCUCGUUCAAUUUCUCCGCAAUGAGAACGAGACUGAGAAAUUCAGCCAAAAUAUCGUAAACUCAUUGUCGAAGACUGCCGAUUUCGCGAGGGUCGGCGAGGAGAACCGGAGGUUUGUGGCGAAUUUCGACGGCUUCGUCUCCGCCAUUGUGGGGAUUCUGAACAGAGAAGGCGUCGAAAUCGAAGUUCUCGAAUCGGUAAUUAAGGUUUUGGAUUCGAUUUUGCCUCAAAGCGGAGUCAACGAGCAAUUGAGCCGAUUUAUUGCGAAGAGCAACGGCAAUUACCUCGCUUCAAUUCGAUUGGUACUGCAGAAAGGAAGCCUGAGCUCGAAGAUCGAAUCCGUCAAGGUUUUGGAUUCGAUCGCGCUCGACGCCGAGUCGAAACGAUUAAUCGCGGAGAAGGAAGGCUUAUUGUCCGUAUUCAACGAUCUGUUGAGCUUGGAAACGUGUCAGGACCUAUACGGCGCCGUUUUCUCAUGCUUAGCAUCAUUGUCCGUGAAUCGGUCGAUUAAAGCCGAGCUCGUCCGGUUCGGACUAGUCCGAGUUGUAACGUCAACGCUGCUAAAGCCGGACACUAGCACUACCCUUGCGGAGAAGUGUUUGAAGCUGUUAUCCACCAUUGCCACGUGCGCCGAGGGCCGGUCGGCGAUCAGCGGGGAGGAGAAGUGCGCGGAGGCGGUGGCGGAGAGGCUGAUGAAGGUGUCGAGGGGGGCGACGGAGGACGGCGUGGCGGUGCUGUGGAGCGUGUGCUGCAUGUUGGGGGACAAGAGGGCGAGGGAGAGCGUGGCGGGAGGAAAUGUGGUGGCGAAGGUGUUGUUGGUGAUGCAGAGUGGGUAUGGAGAGGGGCAUUUUGUGAGGAGGAUGUGUGGGGAUUUGGUCAAAGUUUUGAGUGUUGGGUUAGGGUUGGGGUUGAGGUAUGACACCAAGACUAUACAUAUCAUGCCUUGUUAGAAAUUGUUCAUGAUGAUAAUCUUGCUCAUUUAUUUUUUUUUUGGAAAUUGUGAAUUUGGAUAAAAAAUUUUAUAGAAACAAAAAGGAAAAUUCUUUUUAGUUUUGUAGUCAUUGAUCAUCAUUAUGUGAUUGAUGUUGUAUGAUUAGUAGAGAUAUUUUUGUGUGCUGUGAACAUGACCCGGUAUAUUAAGAAUAGUAUUACAAUUCGUUGGAAACUUUAAAAAAAAAAUUCCAAGAAAUUGUAUGUGCUGUGUUUCCGGAAAAAUUUCUUGGGUUUGUGGGGAUGUGAAUAUGCAAAAUUAUGUUGAUAAGAUGGCUUAAGUGAUUAAAAGAAUGAAGAAAUAAACAACUUUUUGUUAAUCUCAUGUUAAUCUUCUUUUUUGAUUUGUUGUUUCUUUUAUUGUUAAUUCAGAAAAGUUUCAUGAUGAAUUUGUUUGGACUUUGAAAAAGGAUUAGGGACAAGAAUCCAAUCCAUCGUAAAAGGGGCAAGUUUUGAUAUGAUUUGCAAGUUAUAACUUGUUAAGUAAGAGAACGUAAGGAGAUCUAUUGUAUACUUGGGUAAAUUUAAUUGGUCUUAAGUUCAAAUUUAUUUCUAAGUAAUUUUGGAGUAAUUGUGAUCAAAUAGUUGUAUGCUUUUUUUUAGAGUGGACUUACAAGUCACAGUUGUAUUGCCUCAACUACGUUUUAUACCAAUAAUACAAUACCAUGCAGAGAAAUUUACACAUAAUGUUGUAUAUUUGGCAUGAGACUAUCUUAGUGAAAAUGUAUCCAUGCCAUAGAAGUCGUCCUCUCUUUUGUGGGUGAGGUAGUUCUGGGCAAUGAACCUGUAUGAAAAAAUAUGAGUUGUUGAGCUAUGCACGAGUGUCAAACGUAACAUGGCUUAUUUUCGUAUCCCUGGUAAACAAACUACAAAAUCGUUGCUCUUAGAACAGUAUGUGUUUAAUUUCAAAAACGAGACAAAAAUGAUUGUAAAGAAAAAACACUAAAUAAGGAGACAAAUUCAGGCUAGUUUGCGUUCGAAUUUUACAGGGUAAGGCAACAACUUGGCUGUAGUAGGCAUCUGGUUUGCAAAAAUCCAGCAGAAAACAAUUGUAUGGACAACAAAUUGCGAUGCUCCGAUGCGACUCUCUAACAAUGUAAAGCUGUUUUGAAGUGGUGAAGGAACAAGGGUCAUGGCGCCAGAUAACCGAGUUGUAUCAGCAACCAUUUUUAUGAGCCUGCUGCCUCGGCUUCCAUGCUCGAUUCUGGUAACUUUGUCAUCUACAACUCGGACUCAAAUAUCAUUUGGCAGAGUUUUGAUACUCCAACCGAUACCAUUGUAUCUGGCCAGCGAUUGCUGGCUAGAAAGAAGCUUGUCUCCAGCAUCUCCGACACAAAUCAUGCAAGCGGAAGAUUUAGACCUUCAAUGUAGCGUGAUGGGAACCUAGAGAUGUACCUGGAGUGUCCAAUUAUAUUACAACCUGAUUGAUCGGUAUGCUUACUCAAAUAGUGGGACGUACAGGGCUGGAGACAAUGAGUCACUCAACGUUGAUCACAAUGGACAGUUAUAUCUCCUCAGUUACAAUAUAAGGAACGCUACGAAUCAGAAAGAGCUGUUUGACACACACACGUAUGUACCACAUGAUGAUUGACUUUGAUUGUAUUACUCCAGUUAUACUUCCAUACUAUUUAUAUUUAAUUUUAAAUUUUAAAUGAUUUUUAACCGCACGAUAUACAUGAACGGACAUAAUUAUGGGAUCCUCCAAAUUCCUGAGAAAAGGACGUCGAACAAGAAUCUUUGGUUGCUCCAUUGUCUCAUUUGACGGACUGAAAUAACGGAGCUAACAAACUGUAAGUACAAAGGACGAAAGUGAAAAGAAAAAGGCUAAAGGGAGGUAAGUGAUAAUUCGAUUUAAACUAACGGGACCAUGAGUGCAAUCUGACUCGCUCCUUAACUUGGAAAAGCCAACCAGGGCGUUCCAAGUGUGAUGAUGAACACGUGCCGAAACACCAUUGGAUUCUGGAGGGGAACCAGUGAGGCCUCCCGCAGCAAAGCCACACAAAAUGAUACACAAGCGAUCUGAGUCGUCGGCGAGGAUCCUUUUCCGUGAAAAAUCGAUCGAAGAAGCAAAGGCAGGUCACUGAAUAAAGAAAUAAAAACACAGAAGCUGAAGCUGUUGCGGGAAAAAGCUUGACCAAAUCAGGGUUCCCGAAUUCGAAUCGCCAACGAGGUUAACCAGAUUAGGGUUUUAACAAAAUUUUUAAGUUACUUUUACCAUGUUGUAAUUGCUUAAUUUUUUUUGCUGAAAUUCAGAAAUUUGCAGGAAAACUGAAAUGGGGGACGGCCUAUGGAACCGCCAGCAGCAGCAGCAGCAGCAGCAUCAACUGGGUCCCUCUGGCGGCGUGCAUAAACGACCUCGUUCCGACUACGGUAACUCCUCUGUGGCCAUUUCUCAUAGUUUUUUUCUUUAAUUAGAUGAAAUUGCGAUUGCAUUCGUUUGCAUUAUAGAUUUAGUUGUCAAACCAUUUAAUUUCUGACUUCUUGUUUAUAAUUCGAGCGAUAUUAUAAUCUAAUCGAAACUAUGGGGAGAGGGGGAUUCGAACUUGGGUGCAGAUGGGGAGCACACUGCUCGAGCCAACUUAGCUAGGCCAAAGUCUGCUUCUUCGUGUUAUAAGUGUUUUUACUUUAGUGGUUCUUGAUGGGUUUCGGGUUUCAAUGUAAAUUAUGUUUCAAAGUGGUGAAAUUUAUGUGAAGGGUCAAGGGUAUCUAGACAAAGGAUUCCAGUUCAGUUGUCUGAUGACUCUGCUUGUAUGUAUCUCCCCUUACUCUAGUAGAUAUGCAGAUUCUGGUUUUGUAGCUAGGUGUCUCUUUUCUUUUCUUUUAUAAAAAUUACAAUAAAUGUUUUGCUUCCAUAGUUCCAUGUGUACUCUUACAUCUUCGGGGUCUUCUUGAAGCAUAUAAUAUAGUCUUAGCCUAUCUGUUCCACUUACUACAAUUGCGAUCAACACUCAUACUCGUAUGAUUCCAUAUAAUAAUGUAUCUUCCACGAAAGCUUUACUAAGCAUAUGAUUUCUGUUAUUAUUUUCUUUGUAACCAGAUCACAGUUUUUGGCCUUCAUGUUUCCUUCGGUCCAUUGUUAAUGAUAUUAUUUACUGGAUUUCAUAUUUAGAGCAACUUUUGAAUGAUUUCCACAUUAGCGGUAGUUUUAGAAGUUACUGGUUGUUAUUAAGUUAUGUUCAAGGGGGGAAAACCUUGUUCGGUGUGUUUGCUAAGACCUGUGUGAAAAUGGAAACUACUACAAAAUCAUUCAGGUUUCCAAUUACAUUGCAAGGUACUUAAGAAUGGAUCUUUUCCUGAACCCAACCAAACCCCAAACCUCUGAAAUUAUCAAGUAGAUUCUUUCCUUUUAGUGCGGUCAGUCUUCCAAUCUAAUACUAUUCUUCAAUAAUUAUGGUAAUAAGAUCCUCCAUACAUAUUUAUAAUGCAAUUAUGUUUAUAUACAAAUUGAUGCAUAUUAUUGGUAUACAUUUUGAUAUAACCAAAUUCCCCUUUUUUUUCAUUUAGUUAUUUGUUUGCUGAGUUGUUCUUGUUAUAACUUCUUAGUCACUGAUCAAAAGCCUAGACUUGUAUAUUGUAUGUAGAUGUUUUGAUUGGUAUGUUUUCUUUGUACUUUUGAACAUUGGUGGCAGUUUUACUUGUUCAAAUACCACCUAGUUGUUAGUAGUGAUAUUGUUCAUUCCGCACCUUGGGUCUAACUCUGCACAUUAAAGAGUAGGUUUUUACCUUGUUAAUUGACGGGGCAUACUCUACUUCCACCUCAUGCUUCUCAAUUGGUUUCUUGAUUUAAGUUCUUCCAUCUGCUUUUUUAUUUUUUAUGCCUUUUCUCUUGUUCUAUAGUUGUAAUAUAUACAGCUGAAUUAGGGUCUAUUUGUUAAUGUUUUCUCAAUGUUGUGCCUUUAAAUAUAGGUAAAUUAUGCGCUUGGUGCAUUAAGUUUGUUAAACAUGGGAAACAUAUUCUGUAAAAUGAUCUCAACUUUUGUUCUUCAAGUUAGGAAACAACCAUUCCACUAUUUAUGUUGUUUUCAGGGGGAUUGUGAAACAUGGUGAGUAGUUAGAAACAAAAAAAGGAACCUUUCAACUGGAAUAAAUGUUUCUGUCAUCCUCAGAGGCUCUGUUGUUGGUCCUCACUUUUCACGUAUAUCUGCUCUCAAAAACCUAUACCAAAAAACCAAACACCCUAUCGCCUCUCUCUUCCUUUCUUUCUCCAUCUCUCUUUGCCUCCUCAUCUCUCCCACUUUCUCUCUACACCCUCAAAACCUGCACUCCAGCCCCACUCCGAACGCCUGACCCAUUCAUCGAAACCAAUAUGUGGAACCUCUUCUCAACCUCCCCCGCCCCCGCCCCCGCAAUGUUGUCGUCUCGUCUCUGAUUUGAAAACAUUUGGUUGUGGGUUGUUUUCAAUAUAAUAAGUUGGACGUGAAUAAUUGUUAGUGAUAAAUUUGGAUGGUAGAGUUUGGUAUUAUUUCAAUUUAAACUGGAGUGGUCAAGAAUUUGGUAGAACUUGUAAAAUGGAGAAACUGAAGAUGGUGAAUCAGACUUGGUUUCAGUUUAAACGGGGAUAGUUAUACCGUACUUGUAUGGGAUAUAGAGCGAUGUUGGAUGCAGCUUUAUUUUAUUGUAUCGGUUUUGUUUUGGUGUCGGAAUGGUUAUACUGUACUUGUAUCUGUUUCUUUAUCUCGUUUUGGUGUUGCUUUAUUUUUUUAUUGCUUUUAAAUCUGAAAUGGUUAUACUGCACGUGUAUUGGAUAUAGGUCUGAUGUUGGAUGUUUAUUGAUAUGAAUGUUCCAUUUAAUAGGGCUCUAACUCACAAUGGUUUUGGUUAGCUUUGAUGCGGGCAUGGGAUAAAUCAAUUUCACUAUUGUGCCGUUUAAAAGGGCUCUUAACUCACAAUGUUUUAAUAUAUUUGUUUGGUUCAUUGAUACGUCUUGUCAAAAUGUGUUUACAUUAGUUACGUGUUUGAACUUUGAUUAUAAUAUUUAGUUGAAAAUAGUUUUUCAAAAUAUUGCUGCCUAAUACAAAUUCAGUAAUUUAAUUUUUUUCUCAUACUAGCACUGAACACAUUUUCACUGUUUUUGUUUUUAGAAACAUUUUUUCAAACUAUUCUACCAGAUGCAUUAUCUAAUGUUAAAUUACAAGAAUGUUAUAUCAUUUUCAUUUUCUGAAAGGUUUUUAUGCAGAUGGUUUUGUAAAACAUCACCUGAUAGGCUCUUACUUUUCUGUAUUGUCAACCUGUCUUCAGGUCAAGAGAUGCAUGGUUAUUUUGCGCGAGAGGAUGAUCUUGGUGGUCCUAGGACUGUAAAGGAUAACAGAUCAAUCGGAUCAGCAUAUGACCGUUAUCUUCAGAAUGCGGUGACUUUCUUAAGCAUUUGAAACUAUGCCUAUUAUUAUUUGUGUUACAUCUCUCUGUUUCUGUACUAAAACAUUUGUCCUACUUGCUUCUAAAGGAAAUGGCUUCGUACACUUCUGGAGAAGCGAGUACUUUUGGUGGAGCUGGAAUGGGAAGGGCUGUUGGUGGUGGAAUGACAGGUCCUCCAAUGGCUGAUCAUUCUAUGAGGGGCCGUCCUGGAGCUAUGUCUUCUGAUGUACUAACAAAUGGUCGAAAUAUGAAUCUUGCUAAUCAGCUCCCAGUUGAUUCAAUGCCUAGGCCUGGACGUGAAACAGUUCCUUUACCUCUGGAUGCAUCCAGCACUUUAUAUGUUGAAGGACUUCCUCCUGACAGCACAAGGAGGGAAGUAGCUCGUAUCCUUUAUGAUGCUUAAGAAUUAUUGCAUAUUGCUUUCCAAUCUUAUUGUUUAACUCAAUAGUUUUUCCAUCGCUCCUCCUUUACAUAACUCUUAAGAUAUCUUUCGUCCUUUUGUGGGAUACAAAGCAGUGAGGCUUGUGAGCAAAGAGUCCAAACACGUAUGUGGGGGUGGAUUAUUGUAAACAAUUACUUUUCUUAGUCAUUCUGUUUUUCUUGAUCACUCUGACUUGAGAUUGUCGUUGUGCUACUUGGUUCGACUCUUGGGAAGUUUAUAAUCUUUCUUCACACUAAUAUUCCGGUUUGUCCAUAAUGCAGCGUGGCGGGGAUCCUCUUAUUCUUUGUUUUGUGGAUUUUGAAAAUCCAGCCUGUGCAGCAACUGCUCUGAGUGCCUUGCAAGGUGAUUGCUUUUUAUUGUCAUCAACCUUGGUGACUAUCAGUGUCAAAGAAAGCUUAAUUCUUUCUUUCUGUUUUUAUUUGUUUCCUUUAUAGCUUCACAAGUGUUAUUUUCUAUCAUACCUUAUUCAAUCAUGUAAAGGGUAAAUUUAUGUUAAAAUUCUUCCAUGCAUAGUAGGUGUAAAGAGGUUGAGGCAGUUCAUAAAAAUGUUAUAGAUGGCUUCUUGUGAUUUAAUAUUGGAGUUCAUAAUAUCUCUACACUACAUAUCGUGUAGAACUAGCUGGAUUGCUCAUUAUUUUCCCAUGUUUGUUGUUUUUGAAAAGCUGGAAGAUGCUGACAUUUGUGUUGCUGGAAGAUGCUGACAUUCAUGUAAUUCCAUGCAUAGUGUUUUAGUAUGUGUAAAGACGUUGAGGCAGUUGAAAAAAAAAAUGUUAUAGAUGGUUUCUUGUGAUUUAAGAUUGAAGUCCAUAAUAUCUCUACACUCCCGAUUGUGUAGAACUAGUAUUGCUCAUUAUAUUUUCCCGUGCUCGCGGUUUUUGAAACGCUGGAAGAUGCUUACAUUUGUGUUGCGUUUGCAGGUUAUGAAAUGGAUGAACAUGCUCCUGAUUCUAAUUACUUGCGGCUGCAGUUUUCUCGGUUCCCUGGUCCUAGGUCUGGACCUGGCCGUAACAAGAGGUGAUAGGCAUUAGGUGAUGAGAAAUAUCUGUUUUUGAUGUAAUCAAGAUUGCAUUUGCUUUUAAUACAUUCCAUAUAUAUAUAUAUAUAUAUAUAUAUAUAUGUAUUGCUCAGGCUUGGGCACACACCAACUGUAAGCACUUCUGAUGCACAUUGUUGUUUCGAGGUAGUGAAUCAGAAACAGUUUUAUAGUUGUGCAAUUAAACAGAGAUCUGAUUUUGCACGUCCAUGGUCUACAAAAUUUGUAAGUGUUUUUAGAAGUGGCAAGUUUCUCAGGCACAAACCCUUUAAAAACUAGUGUGUUUUUUUAGCAUGGAUUUGCAGGCUUCUGUUACAUAUAUCAUAUGGUAAGUGAUUUCCGCUCGCUUUUUCUCCUUGUACAACUCCUUUUUUCCUAGUUUAAGGGUUGGAUAAAUCAAAUCAAAGGAGAAUAAGUGGAAAGAAACAUAAGGUGAAUGCAGGAGGAGAAAAUGGGAACGUGCCGAUGACUACCGAUCAAACUCGUCUUUUCUUGUAACUUCCAACUGCAUGGAGAAAAGCAAGACACUGCGUGAUGAGAAUGGGCAUUGCAUGGUGUCAUGUCUUGUGGUGUUAGAAAUUUGAUCCGAGUCCUUCCCAUUUGGACUACAGUUAAGGACAGGCUCUACUAUGUCCUCCCAAUGCUAAGCACUAGGUAGUGGGCUGCCGACUAGUCUAUGUGCCACUGUACAUAUCACAUGGGCUUUCAACCCAUAAUCCUAUCCUGCUAGAGCUUCCCCCUACCCUUCUUGAAAUUAGUAUACCGUCAGGUAUGUUGCUGUCUCUCAUAUCACGUGACUAAUGAUUCGUUUGGAAUUACUUCUUUCAGAAACACUUAUACUACAAGUGUUUUUAUUGUAGACACGUUAAAUCUUUACAAACAAUCCAAGUGUUCAUUGAAAAAUAUUUGAAAGUGCUUCUUGAAAAAGCAUUUGGCAAGUGCUCCUCUAAAGAUAGUUUAUACGAGUCAAAAGAAUUUCUAAUAUUUUAUCUUUAUGCCAAUCGCAACAGAACACAUUUAGCUUUUCCAGAAUCAAUCCUAAACUAGUUCUAAGCAAAGAAAGGGCAAUAUAACAUAAGGACAACGAAGAAUCUCUCUAACAUUAAAGGUUAUGUUUGUUCGGUCACUAGACUCAAACAAAAGAGAAAAGUAGAAGUGGGCAAUAAAUUGGUUUUCGAUUACCAUCAAAUUGGCACAACAUUCGGCAUUGUUUCGCAAAAGACUGCUUUUUUUUCUUAGCAUUAGUUUUACACACACUCUAGUGUGUGGUAAAAACAAGCUAGGGUUUGGUUGGAGAACAAGUCUGAGCAGUUACAUGCCAUGUGGGCUGGAGGGUUUCGUUUGGUGCCAUUACUCUUUUUUCUUGUUCUAUCAUCCUUGUCGAACUGGAAGAGAAAAAGGAGGGGAAAAGGGAGUUUAGGGCAAAAAGGAUACUGAGUUUAUAAACCAGGAAAUGUCUAAGCAAUUUGUUUGUGCCAACGUGACUGUUAUCUAAAUAUAGCGUACUUGUGGUAUAAAAGAAAAAGGCAAAAAGGGUAACUGUAAAUAGUUGUUGUACUUAAGUGUAAAUUGUCCCACAACUUGUCCAGGGACCAGUGCAUAUAAGUUGUAGCUGCAAGUGCAAGGAGCAACCUCUGGAUUAGAUAGACGGAUGGACUUGGUUUGGUAUGAUUCCAAGUCGUCGUUGAUGUUUCUUCUUCUUUGUGGCCCAGCCACCCAGGACUAUAGUCCUUAUUUGGUAGGUAUUUAUUGCAAGGCUAACUAUAGGAUUGGAGAUAGACAAAGGGAGAUGGGACAUGGAGAAUGGUUUGCCAAGUUUGUUUAGAAUGGAUCGGGAUCAAUGCCCGUUGGAUCCCUAGUAAUUGAAUAUUAGUUAAAGAUUCAACGUCUAUGAAUCUCGGUCUAUGUUAUGAACUGUUUUUACAAUUUUCGUUCAUUGUGUAUCACGUAAUAUGCAUAAUGUUAGACAAUCCACUUGUUUUAUUUGAGACAACUGUAUUUGAUGCACUUCCUAAUUUCUGUUUUCUGACUUGCUUCAAUCUACAUUCUCUUGAUAUUUUUUUUUCCAUUUUACUCGGUUUUAUGAUAGUGAGAACAUUCAACAUGGCCUCUUCUUCCUCAAGUUGCUUCUUUGUGAUACGUAUAUCUGUUUUUGUACUAAAACAUGUAUCCUACUUGCUUUUAAAGGAAAUGCCUUCGUACACUUUUGGAGAAGCGAGUACUUUUGGUGGAGCUGGAAUGGGAAAGGCUGUUGGUGGUGAAAUGACAGGUCCUCCAAUGGCAUGAUCAUUCUAUGAGGGCCAGUCCUGGAGCUAUGUCUUCUGAUCUAUUAACAUAUGGUCGAAAUAUGAAUCUUAUUAAUCAGCUCCCAGUUGAUGCAAUGCCUAGGCGUGGACGUGAAACAGUUCCUUUACCUCUGGAUGCAUCCAGCACUUUAUAUGUUGAAGGACUUCCUCCUGACAGCACAAUGAGGGAAGUAGCUCGUAUCCUUUAUGAUCCUUCUAUGAUGCCUAAGAAUUAUUGCAUAUUGCUUUCCAAUCUUAUUGUUUUACUCAAUAAUUUUUCAAUCGCUCAUCCUUUACAUUACUCUUUAAGAUAUCUUUCGUCAUUUUGUGGGAUACAAAGCAGUGAGGCUUGUGAACGAAGAGUCAGGUUUGUCCAUAAUGCAGCGUGGCGGGGAUCCUCUUAUUCUUUGUUUUGUGGAUUUUGAAAAUCCAACCCAUGCAGCAACUGCUCUGAGUGCCUUGCAAGGUCAUUGCCUUUUUCUUUUCAUCAACCUUGGUGACUAUCAGUGUCAAAGAAAGCUUAAUUCUUCGUUCUGUUUUUAUUUGUCUCUUUAAAGGUUUGUAAAUUUUUUUUCUAUCGACCUUAUUCAACCAUGUAAAUGGAAAAUUUAUGUUAAAAUUCUUCCAUGCAUAGUAGGUACAAAGUGGUUGAGAUAGUUCACAAAAAUGUUAUGGAUGGCUUCUUGUGAUUUAAUAUUGGAGUCCAUAAUAUCUCUACACUCCAGAUCGCGUAGAACUAACUAGAUUGCUCAUUAUUUUCCCGAGCUUGUUGUUUUUGAAACGCUGGACGAUGCUGACAUUUGUGUUGCGUUCGCAGGUUAUGAAAUGGAUGAACAGGCUCCUGAUUCUAAUUACUUGCGGCUGCAGUUUUAUCAGUUCCCGGAUCCCAGGUCAAGACCUGGCCGUAACAAGGGGUGAUAGGCAUUAGGUGAUGAGAAACAUCCGUGUUGAUGUAAUCAAGAUUGCAUUUGCUCUUAUACAUUAUAUAUAUUGCUCAGGCUUGGGCACACACUAAUUGUAAGCACUUCUGAUGCACAUUGUUGUUCUAGGUAGUGAAAUCAGAAACAGUUUUAUAGUUGUGUUGAACGAUCUGAUUUUGCACGUCCAUGGUCUACAAUUUACUCAAGGAAUGUUUUAAUUCUGAAUUGAGAUUGUACUGUGCAUAGACUACCGCAAAAUUAGUACAGAGAUAGUUUCCCUAUAGAUUGUUUUCAUAUACUAGAGGACUUCCAUGGCCAGGGUAUCUUGCCACCAUAUUGUCCCCGUACAUUUUCCCUCCAUAUUAGUUAUAUAUUUAUCUGGACAUUCUAACCUAAUGAAGUCCUACAAUCAUCAUAACUCAUUUUACUUAGCUCAUGCUCCUUACAAUAUUUGAUGAACUCACAUAAGAAACUCAUAGAAAUUUGUUCCCAGUCAUUACCUUUGGACUGCAGUUGAAGCUUAUGAUACAUCCUCCCAAUGCUAAGCACUAGCUAGUGGGUUGUCGACUAAUCUAUGCCACCGUACACAUCGCAGGGGCUUUGAACUCUGUCUCAAUUAUUGUAAAGACGUUAGCCUCUUCAAUGAAAGAACCCAUAGUCCUAUGCUGCUAGAGCUCCCCCCACCCUUCUUGGAAUUAAUAUAGUGUUAGGACAUAUCGCUCUAUUUCUCACAUCACGUGACUAAUGAUUUCUUUGAAGUUACUUCUUUAGGAAACACUUAUACUACAAGUGCUUUUAUUAUAUAGAAUCUUUAUAAGCAAUCCAAGUGUUCAUUGAAAACGUAUUUGAAAGUGCUUCUUGAAAAAGCAUUUGGCAAGUGCUUCUUGAAAAAGCAUUUGGCAAGUGCUUCUAUAAAAGAGCUUAUUGGGUCAAAAGAAUUUCUAAGUUUUUUUUUCUGCCAAGCACAACAGAAUACACAUUUUAGCUUUUUCCAGAACCAAUCCCAGACAAGUUCUAAGCAAAGAAAGGGCGAUACAGCCUGAAGACAACGGAGAAUUUCCCUGACGUUAAAGGUUUUGUUUGUUCGGUCACUAAACCCAAAAAAAUAGAAAACUUGAAGUGGGCAAUGAAUUGGUUUUCGAUUUCCAUUAAAUUGGCACAACAUUCGGCAUUGUUAUGCAAAAAUAUACUUUUUUCUUAUCAUUAGUUUUACACACACUCUAGUCUGUGGUAUAAAAUGAGCUAGGGUUUGGUUGGAGAACAAGUCUACGUGGUAUCAUCACUUACAUUACAUGCCAUGUGGGCUGGAGGGUUUCAUUUGGUGCCAUUACUCCUUUUUCUGUUCUAUAAUCAUUUUGGAACUGGAAGAGAAAGUGGAGGGGAAAAGGUAGUUUAGGGCAAAAAUUUUCCAAUCAAUUUUUUGGCAGUGUGACUGUUUUCGAAAUAUAGAGUAGUUGUGGCAAAAAAGAAAAAGGAAAGGGGUAAUUGUACAUACACAUUGUUCCAAAGGGUCAGUUGUCCCACAACUUGUCAAGGGACCAGAGCAUUAAGUUGUAGCUGCAAGUGCAAGGAGAAAGUUGUGGAUUAGAUAGACCAAUGGAUUUGGUUUGGUUUAAUUCCAAGUCAUCGUCGUUUCUUCUUCUAUGUGGCCCAGCCGCCCAGGACUUUAGUCCUUAUUUGGCAGGUACUUAUUACAAGGUUAGAUAAAGGGAGAUGAUACAUGGAGAACGGUUUGCCAAGUUUGUUAGAGUGGAUCCGGAUCCAUGAGUGUUGGAUCUCUAGUAAUUGAAUCUUUAGUUAAAGAUUCAAUGUCUCAACGAUCUAUGCUAUACAUUUGUCUUUACGAAUUUUCAUUCAUUGUGUAUUACAUAAUAUUCUUGACCCUCUUAUAUGUGACUUCGGCCGACUUCUAUCACCCGAUAUCGUUGUGUAAUAACUUGAUGAGAUAGCCAAUGCUUAGGUCAUCUUCAAUGGAGAUGGCUAAAGGUCAAAAAGCUAAAAAAUAGUAUGAUUUGUUCAAAAACUCAUCUCCAACCAAUGUCAGAGCUAUAAUUAUAUGGAGCCCACCAUGCCAUUAUUUGGCUAGUGCCCCUUUCUUAGCCCCUUUUUGGGGCCUAGCUCCUCGAUUAUGCCAUCUGCAAUGAAGAGGGCUAAAUGUCUAAAAGCCAAAAAAUGACAUGAUUUACCCAAAAACUCAUCUCCAACCAAUAGCUAGGUUAUAAUUCUAUGGAUUCAACAGUUAGAUUUGGAAACAUCCAAUGUUAGUUUAAUUAAAUUAAAGUAUAAACUUAAAACUAAUAAAUUAUUAGGGAGCCUAUGUUUUAGCCCUUUCGGUUGGAGAUGGUAUAUGAGUAUGGCCGACACUAUUCAUUUAAAAAUAAUUUUUUUGUUGGGUUAUAAUUUUGGAUGAGGCUAUGUCUAGCCCUUUUGGUUGGAGAUGACCUUACAAUGAUUAAUUCAAAUUCAAUGGUUAAAUUUGAAAAUAUCCAACAAAACAUCCAACAGUAGUUUAAUUAAAUUAAUCAAUAAUUUUAAGUAUAAACUCAGAACUAAUAAAUUAUUGAGGGAGUUAUGUUUAGCCUUUUCGGUUGGAAAUGAUAUAUGAGUAUGGCCUAAUACUGUUUAUUAAAAAAAAAAUCUUUAGUUAUCUCUGCUAAUCAAUAAAACACUCAUUGUCAACCAAAAUCCUAUGAAAUUACCAGUUUAACCUUCUAAUUAAAACAAAACAUGAAUAAGAAAUAUGGGGCGGAAAUUUAAUUUUACACAAACAAAAUUUGUUGUUUUUUUUUUUCAAAACUUCAUCUAUAUAUAAUUCUAACAUAUCUCUAAUUAUAAAAUAAAUAAAAAAUAAAAAUAAAAACUUCCUACUCCCACAUUCUCUAUCACUCCCUUCCUCUCUUCUUUUAUUUUAAAACAAAAAAAAAAAUUUCACAUACUUUAUAUAUGCCCAUAUGCUAGUAAUUAUAAACGAAACUAUAUUUAACUAUUUCGUUGAAAAUGACCGUACGAGUAUGUAAAUUUUGAAAUGUGAGUUGUCGUUCACUACGCAAGCAAAGAUCGAAAGCCUUCAUGUACCGAGGGGUCCCACUCCUUGAAUCAGAAUAAAAGUGCUUUGAAAAAGUCCCUUUAAUUAUGUCCAAGUUUGGAUAAAAUUUGUCCAUGCAUGGCAUGCACUCACUGACUGAUCUCGUCGUCCUGAAGGGUAAGAGAGGUAAAUUCCAGAAUAACCCACGAGGCACUGUAUGAAGCCUGUCAAUUACAUCAACUCAUCAAGCUUUCAAUCUUUUCAUGGCAUGCCUAACUUCUGUGAAAUAUGCUCAACAUUUAACAUUUUGUAAACCAAAAAGAGAGUAAGAGAGAGAUGAUUGAAGUAAUAAAGUAAAAGCGAAAUGCAUGCAUUGAUAAAAGGAAAUUUUAACAAAAAAAAUUUCGGUACUGUUUACUUUAACAAAAAAUUAUAUUUUUACAUUAAAAAGUCAAUUCUAAUACUAUUCAUUUUACCCUUUAUUUGUUCUUUAUUGUUAAAAAUCAAAUUUUUCAAUCCAUUUUUAUUAGUUUUCCUUUGAUAAAAGGAGAAAGAUGCAUGGAGAACUGGUUUUUUAUUUUAUUAUUAUUUUUUUUACAAACAAUAAUAUUAGAGUGGAUUAAGUUAUUAGCUGUUAGCGAGAAGAGGAUCAAUAAUAAUCAAACUAGCACCCGGAUGUAUAAGCAUAAUUGUUUUCUAAAAUUGCAAUAAAACGUCACUUUCCAUAUAUAUAUAUAUAAAAAAAAAAAACUUAUUGUUCCUUGUAUGAUGGAUUGCAAUCUCAAUAUCGUUCUUAAUGGAACGGCCACAAUUAGUUGUUCAGGACAUAAACAAUAUGUAUUGUCUUUAUAUUUAGGAAAUUGGCUCUGUUAGCCUUAUUACAAACCCAACAAUUAAAAAUACUCCCAAAUUAUAAUCUCUAUUAGCCCUCUUUUCCUUAAAUACCACUAACUUGAAAGAUGAACUGUUAUUCUAUGUCUCGACGUUGGAUCUCGAUGGCAUCCAAAAGGGCCUCUCAACUCCCUUCCGACUGUAUCUCGACUGAAUCACGACGGCAUCUCAACGGCACAGAACUGAAUUACCCUUAUAUUUAUGAGUUGAUCAGACACUCCAAUUAAAUAAAAAUAACUAUAAUUAUGUCAAAAUUAUUUAGUCAGUCUCACGUAUAUAUAAUUAAUUCAUCAAACACAUAAACAAAAAAGUUCUUGUAUGUAUGCUAUACUUUGAUUUGUCUCAACAAGAAAUGACUCAGUCAUCUUUUUAUCUAUGUCCAUUGAGUUUAUGGAGGGCAACAUAUUGAGAUCUCAAAAAUCUUAUUCUCAUACAACACACUUUUUUUUUUGAACAAACGAUAUUAUCUACACUAAGGGAAAAUGGGUGGCCUAAACCUCACAAUGGGCUAGCAAUAAUGUGGUUCAAAUUCACAUUUGGCGAGAAUCAAACCUAAGACCUCUCACUGACAAGUGAAGAAGAAUAUCACUAGACCGUAGUCCUAAAAAAAAUAUAGAUCUUAUAGUCUUGCAGUGUUUUAGAUUAGCUAAAACGUUGGUAUCCAUAUUAACUUACCAAAAAAAAUAUGUUGAAUUUGCUACACCUGGAAUUUGUAGCAGAUUUGUCAUUUUAUAAAGGGGUUUUUAACUCAUUUAAAAAAAAAGAAGGGGUUUUUAACUUUAAUUCUUAAAAAAAAUUGAAAUUUAAUAAAAAUCGGAUGUUAGAUUACAUAUUAAUUAUUGUCCUUUAAUGUGUUAUUAACUCAAAUUAAUUAAUGUGUAUUUUAUUCAAUAUCUCACAUUAAAUAUUUGAAUUUAUGAAAAUGAAAAUUAUAAUAAAAUAUAAUUAAUAUAUCAAAAUUAGAAAGAAAAAGAGAAAUAAUUAAAACAUCAAAAUAUAAUUAAUAAAUGAAGUAAUUAACAUAUCAAGAGACUAAAAUUAGAUUUUAAUUUUACUCAUGUUUUUAAUUUAAAGUUAUUUUUAUCAAAAAUUAAAAUGAAGUUUCCUAUUUUGUAAAUUACAACGAUGAAAAAUGACGCGUUGCACGUAAGAAACAACAUCUAUAUUUUCUCUUUUGUUUAAUAUGCCAUCAAACAUAUCCAUCACAUUUUAAAUUUUGUGGAAGUCCCUCUCUCACAUUGAUAAAGUCUGGUUUGUGUUGGACAGCUGUCCAACAGACAACCCAAAAAUCUUCCAAAAACCAACAAACAUUUCUGACCAGUCAUGCAUACGUAUGCAUGGACCCAAUGGCAUAUAAUCAAAAAUUUUAAAUAAUGGGAUCGUAAUGUCAACUUAAAAAAAAGUUUCAUUAAGCUAUUUCAUCGAACAUUUAGUAAGCAAUUGUCAAUUCUUGUCAACAAUGCCAAAAGUUUAUGUUAAAAUAUAUCAACUACGAUAAUUUGUAGAGGCUUGUCGAGAGUGAUGUAGGAUACUACGAAGUAAUAUUGAGAACUCUUAAAGCUUUUCAACUAAAGUAUUUUAUAUAAAAAGAGAGAAAAGAAAAACAAAUAUGAUAGAAGAAAAUAGAAGAAGUAAGAAGAUGAGGUUGUAAGUUAGUUUGCUUUAGCUAUUUAUAAUGGUCAAAUAAAAUAUACAAACAAAUAUACAUGAGAUUUUUAAAGUUGUUGAGAUCAAGGAUAAUCAAUGAUCCCAUUCUAGUUUUGCCAUUGCAUGGGCCGGAUAGGGAUAUGGCUAAAAUAUAAUUCUAUUAAUUGCGUUUUGGGACUUUGUCUAACAACUUGGCUCUCUCUUGACUUGGAUGCCAUGGAUGGCUCAUGCAGUUUACUAAAACUAGUAAUGUACAAUUUUCAGAGACUAUUAAUUAUCAUCUAUCAGGAAAAUUUGAUUUCCAUGCUUGCCCUUUCACGUCGGUGACUUGGAGAUAAUAUUGUUUCUUGUCCGGAGAUGAAAUAAAAUAAAAAGACUUGCACGAUCAUACUGCAUUAUAUAUAUUACACUAUAUAGUCUAUGUUGGGAGUUAUAUAUUAGUUAAAGUAUAAAUAGUAGUCUGUUAUCCUAUAUUGAUGAAGUGCAUAUGUAAUACAAAUUGUAAUUCCUAUAUAUACUCCAUUUUGGAGAUUAAUGAAUAUAUGAGAAAUUCUCAAAUAUUAUCAUAUAUAUUUUUGGUAUUUACCAUGUUUAGUUUAAUAUAGCAUCAAAGCAGUUCGCUCUUGGUGACCUGUGUGCUUUAAUUUUGUGCCCCACAUUUGUCAUGAUUUCCUUCGUCUUGAAAAAAAAAAAGGAAAGUAAAUAGUGUUGCACUACAGUACAAACAGUGCGUAAACAGUGGUAUGCUACAGUGUUCAUGAACAAUAUUUUGCUACAGUGCCAUUAACAGUGAUCUACUACAUCACUUGAACAGUGAUGUGCUACAGUAUUAUGGUAAAUUGUUUUCAUUCCGCUGCCUAUCUUUUGUGCCUUUAUUGUUUGUGAUUUAAUUCAAUGGCUCAGUAUAAUCAUAAUGUUGUUAUGCAUCUUGGUGGAACAAAUAAAUGGAUAAUUGAUACUGGGACCACUAAUCAUGUGACUAGUGACCCUAGAAUGUUUGAUGAGUUAUGUGACUAUAUUCUUGAUCCGUAUAUUACUAGUGCAAAUGGAGCACAUUCCCCCGUGAAUGUUGAAGGCAUUAUCUCUCUUACUUCGACCUUAUCACUGGUCCAUACUUUACUUGUUCCUGAUGUUAAGUGCAAUCUUUUGUCGGUAGAAAAACUACUUGAUACUUUAUAUUGUUUUGCUCACUUCUACCCUACGUAUUGUUAUUUUCAAGACAUUCAAACUCAGAAAGUAAUUGGUCAUGGUAAAAGAAUAGAGGGUUGUACAUCUUGACUAUGGAGGAUACUGUUGUUUCCGGUUCAAAUAAUCAUCAAGUUUUAAGUGCUAAAGUGGAUGACAUACAUCAAAUUUGGUUGUGGCAUUGGCGAUUAGGACGUCUAUCAUUCAGUUAUAUGAAGCAUCUAUUUCCUGCUUUGUUUCGCAUUUGUAGUGAUUCAUAAUUCAAGUGUGAAGCAUGUGUCAUGGCUAAGAGUCAUCGUGCUUCCUUUCCCAUAAGUGAUUCUAAAGCUACUUUGCCAUUUGAUUUAAUACAUUCUGAUGUGUGAGGUCCGGCAAAUGUUACUUCUAAUGAAUUUCGUUGGUUUGUUACUUUUAUUGAUGAUUGUACUCGAUUAACUUAGGUGUUAUUGAUGAAGAAUAAGAGUGAUGUUCAUUUGCUUCUUCAAGAAUUUUGUGCAAUGGUGUAUACUCAGUUUCAGACCAAAGUUAAGGUUUUCAGGUUUGAUAAUAGAGGAGAAUAUGUGAAUCACACUUUGACAUGCUUUUUUCGUGAUCAGGGUAUUAUUCACCAGACGACUACUUUGUUUACACCCCAACAAAAUGGUGUGUCAGAACAGAAGAAUCGUCAAAUAAUGGAGGUUGCUCACUCAUUGAUGUUGGAUAAAUGUGUUCCUAAUCAUUUAUGGGGUCAUGUUGUUUUGGCUGUUGUAUAUUUGAUAAAUCGUGUUCUAAGUAGGGUUCUUGAUUUUCAGACACCACUUGAUGUGUUACAAAAGCAUGUUUAUCUUGUUUCUGUAUCAAAACUUCCUCCGAAGGUGUUUGGGUGUAUUGCGUAUGUGUAUGUCUACUCUUAUCAGCGGAGUAAACUUGAUGCAUGUGUUCUUCGAUGUGUAUUUAGUAGGUAUGCUAACAAUCAGAAAGGCUAUAAGUGUUAUCAUCCUCCGACUCAUAAAACUUAUAUUACCAUGGAUGUCACUUUCCACGAGGAAGUUUCGUAUUUUGUGAAGCCAUCUUCCGACUCUCCACUUCAGGGGAAAAAAGGGAGUGAAGUGCAUAUUUGAAGAGAUGGUAUGGAUGAUGUGUUACAGGCAGAGUUGGGGAUAGAACCUAUUAUGUUGCGUGAUACUGAUCAGUCGGUUAUAGAUAGUGAUCUGUCACCUAUUAUUCCUAAAACUAUUUUUACUGACGACAGAUUAGAUGUGCCCAACGAGUUGCUUGUCAGUAUGUCUGACGAAUUACUUUCUGAUGACCGAUUGCUUGCUUCUGGUAUGUCUAACGAGCUGCCUGAUGAUGGUUAGUUCAGUGAUGGUUCAUCCAGUGAUGAUUCUUUUAACAAUUUGGUACAAGAUAAUGACAUACAUGAGUUAAAUUCUGACGAUUCUUCUAUUUAUUAGUUGCCUCCACGAGCUAAUCGUGGAAAACCUAAGGUACAAUAUGAGCCUGAUAUGCAUGCCAAAUCCAAAUAUCCUAUCAACAAUUAUGUGUUUACUCAUCGUUUGUCCAAACCAUUUUCAUCUUACAUAUGUCAGCUAUCUAGUGUAUCAAUUCCAACAAAAUUGCACGAUGCCUUGUCUGACCCUAAGUGGGUUAAUGCCAUGAGAGUUGAGAUGGAAGCCUUGGAAAAGAAUUCUACUUGGGAUUUGGUUCAUUUACCAAAUGGGAAGAAAGCUGUUGGAUGUAGAUAGGUGUUCACUAUUAAGCACAAAGCAGAUGGUUCUAUUGACCGGUAUAAAGCCAUAUUAGUUGCUAAGGAUUAUACUCAAACCUAUAGGGUGGACUAUCAGGAGAUUUUUGUUCUUGUUGCCAAACUUAAUACUGUGUGUGUUCUUCUGUCCUUAGUAGCAAACCAGGAUUGGCCUCUGUUGCAGUUUGAUGUUAAGAAUGAUUUCCUUCAUGGUGAUCUCAAGGAGGAAAUUUAUAUGGAUCUCCCACUUAGUAUUAGAACAUCUCCUGAAAAAUGUGUUGUAUGCAAGUUGCAAAAAGCUUUGUAUAGUUUGAAACAAUCUCUUAGAGUGUGGUUUUGGAGGUUUACAAGUUCAAUGAAGAAGUUUGGGUAUGUCCAGAGUCAUUCAAAUCAUACUUUGUUUCUAAAUUGUUUCUAAAGCCACAAAAUGGUAAGCUAACUGCAUUGAUUAUUUAUGUUGAUGACAUGUUAGUGACUAGUGAUGAUCAAAAGGAGAUACAACGCCUUAAAAAAGUACCUAGCUAGUGAAUUUGAGAUGAAAGAAUUGGGUGAAUUGAAGUAUUUUCUUGGAAUCGAGGUUGCACAAUCCAAGCAUGGUAUUUUUCUGUCUCAACAGAAGUAUGUUCUUGAUUUGUUAGUUGAAACAAAUCUGUUAGAUUGCAAACUUAUUGAUACUCUGAUUGAGCAAAAUCAUCAUCUGGGCUUAUUUCCGAAUCAAGUUCCUACUCAUAAGGAACGGUAUCAGAGGCUUGUGGGGAAAUUAAUUUAUUUGUCUCACACUUGCCCUGACAUUGCUUAUGCAGUUAGUGUAGUAAGUCAGUUUAUGCACUCACCUAGUGAAGCUCAUAUGGAUGAAAUAGUCCGUAUUUUGAGGUGCUUGAAGAUGGCUCCUGGCAGAGGCUUGGUUUUCUCCAAGAAUGGUCAUUUGAAUGUCGAAGGGUAUACAGAUGCAGAUUGGACAAGUUCUAUCACUGAUUGGCGGGUGGUAAUCUAGUUACUUGGAGAAGUAGAAACAAAAAAUGGUGGCUAGGUCAAGUGCUGAAGCUGAGUUUCGUGGUAUGUCUCAUGGUGUAUGUGAGUUGUUGUGGUUAAAAAAAUUGUUGAGAGAUCUUGGAUUUAAACCCAAUGGUGCUAUGAAACUCCAUUGUGAUAACAAGGCUGCUAUUGAGAUUGCUCAUAAUCCAGUGCAACAUAAUCAAACAAAACAUGUGGAGAUUGAUCAACAUUUCAUCAAGGAAAAUUUGGAUGCUGGAAUUAUUAUGUUUCCGUUUGUGAGAUCUGAAGAUCAACUCGCUGAUGUACUUACUAAGACUGUGUCUAAUAGUGUGUUUUCCAACUCGCUUGACAAGUUGGGCAUGCAUGACAUCUUUGCUCCAACUUGAGGGGGAAUUUUACGAGUUAUAUAUAGUUAAAGUGUAAAUAGUAGUCUGUUGUCCUACAUUGAUGAAGUACAUAUGUAAUACUAAUUGUAACUCCUAUAUAUACUCCACUUUGGAGAUUAAUAAAUAUAUAAGAAAUUCCCAAAUAUUGUCAUAUAAAUUUUUGGUAUUUAUCAUGUUUAGUUUAAUAGUCUAAACAUCAGGAAAUACACCAACCCUAAACCUAAUGGAUUUUAUGAAGCCGCUGGUUUGGGUACACAUUAAUCUAACCUAAUUGCUCUACCACAUUCUAAACACAAAAUUUGUUAUAAAUAGGAUGAUUAAAUUUAUUUUCUCAAGCGGUAGAGUAGUGAACCUCACAGCGACGACAAUCUUCCACCCCCAAAUUCGGGUUUUUUUGUACUAAAAUGGUCUUUUAUGUAUAAGAACUUUACGAUAAGUUUAUUAAAAUUGGCUCUGUAUCUACGAAAUCUCAACAUCCAUACGUUACAAAAUGGAUUAGAACUCCUAGGAAAUAAAAUAGAACAUAUGAUGAUCCCUUUAAAGGGCCUUAUAAUGGGGAAGACUUCUCACAGAAUAUAAGAAGACGAAGAGGAAAACUAAAAACUUAGAACUUCAAGGAGAUGGACUGGAGCAGGGAGAAUGGCAAAGAACCGGAACCCAGAAGACCCGCAACGAAAAAGAAAACACUGUACUUUUUUUAGACAUUUUUUCACAUUUCUUCUCGGCCUUACAGCCAAGUAGCAUUUUCCGACCCCAAAUAAAGAUAGAAGGAAAAAACCAAAUUAAGGUAAAUAAAUUUUCUAUAGCAACUUGGCAAACAAAAACAUACUAGAAGAAAACAAGGAAAAUACAAAGAAAUUAAGGAAGUAUGGGAAACAAAAUAAAUUUAAUACGGGACCAACGACAACGGUGCAAAUGUAUAUUGUUCAGGAAAUAAACUUUUAGCGAAAAUGUGCUGCAAAAUUGACCAAUUUUGCUUCAUAUUCACACUCAAUUUUUUUAAGAAUUAAUAUCUGUAGAGUUUAGACCAAAAAUAAAAUAAAAAACAAAACCAAAAUGCUACUCCACUUUCUUGGUACUUAACUCAGCUCUCCACCUCCUUCCAAUCUUACAAGCUUCUAGAUUUAGAUUUGUCUCAAAUCACAUGCCAACUAACCUGCCCAGCUCAAUUUUAUUUUUUCUUUGGAAAUUCCAGUGCGUCUCUACUUUUGUUUUUCUAAAUCUUACUUACUCCCAUUAUAAUUGGAAUUUUAUAUAUUUAUAUGGAUGCUUUGUCAAGAUAUGAGAGAAAUAGUAGUGAUUCAAAAAGAUGAUUAGGAGCCAAAAAUAUUUAUUAUUUUAGAUUGGUGUUUAUGUUUUUGAACAGUUAAAAACUUUUUUGGUCAUUGUGUUUAUGUUUAAAAUUUAUUUUGGUCACUGUAUUUUAUUUUCUGCUAAUUUAGUUACUGUGUUAUCACAAGUUAGCAAUCUUAGUCCUUCUCAAUCAAACGUUAAAAAAAACGCACAUGACAUGCAAGUGCAGGGGUAACUAUGUAAGUGAAAAUAUAUCUUUGCCCCUGCACGAAACUGUCACGUGCAUUUUUUUGGCGGUUGACUUAUGGUAACGCAGUGACCAAUUUGGCAGAAAAUAAAACACAAUGACCAAAAUAAAUUUUAGAAAUACACACAGCGACCAAAAACGUUUUAAUUUAACCCAUUUUUAACAGUCCAGCCAGCUACCAUGAAAGCUACAACAUGAAAGCUGACUGUCAAAAUUUUGUUUAAAAAUUCAUACACAAUAAUCGUCAUAAGAACGUGCAAUAGGUACUUUGAAUUCUUAAAUAUACUGCAUGGUUACCCUUUCCUUUUGUUUUAUACAGAGAAAUCUUGACAGGCAGUCAAAAGCAAAAUUAUGUUCUUCUAGUGAUAUCUGUGUGCUAAAAAGGAAGUACGUAGCUACGUUCAGUCUUCACCUAACACUCCUAUUUGCACCUAAAAGAUGUGGAUAACAAAGAUUUUGACCAAAAUCACAUUGACAAGUACUUGCCAAAGGAUCACGGAACCUAUGAUUGUAAAAGAUAUACGUGUUGGGCCUGACCGACGUUAAUUAGUUGUUCAUAUUGAUUUGAGAAAUUUGAUUGAAUGAGGAUUAACAAAUCACAAUUGCUAAAAUAUUAAAAUGUAUUAACUGCGACAUAUUGGUUAAAUAAUUAUUGCACAUCGAAAAAAUAUUGACGAGUAAUUAUGAAUUUUUAUUUUCAUUAUUUCAAACAUUUUUAUAUUAGAAAAGCUAAAGAAAAUGAUUUAAAAACUUUGAAUUUUAAUGAUACGUACAAAAUGAAAGGUAAAAUAAAUAGUACCAGAAUUAACUUUUUGUUUAAAUUUUAUUUUCUAUUUGGCAUCAACUUUUGGUUUAAAUAUACUAUAUAACCCUCACAAAAGAAAAAGCAUGGUGUACUAGUAGCUAAAAGACAUAAAAAAGGUUAAUCUUAAUUUAUUAUUCUAAAGUUUCUUAGUUUUCAAUAUUUGGUAUAUAAAGUUUUUUUUAUUCUAGAGUUGUACAUAAAGUUAUAAUUUUGGGAUACUUUCAUACAUCCAUUAAGGUUGCUGUUAAAUUUAUCAUUAACUGAUGAUAUGACAUUUAUGUUGACAAUGACACGUAGAUAUUAAAAAUUAAAAAUUAAAUUAAUAAAAUAAUAAAAAUUAAAAAAAAAAAAAAAUUGGGCGUCUUCACCCUCACCCCUUCUGACCCCCCUCCCUUCUCUCCUCUGCACCCACGCUUCCCCCUCCCUCUUCGACUCCACCCAACGCUGCACUCCGAGGAUUGUUGCCAUCCUUUCAAGCCCAAUUUCGCCCCCAAAUAGGCCCGGGCAGUACUUGGCCAUAAACUUCAAGUCGUAGACCCUCUCGAACAAACGACCUGCCAUCUUUGCGAACUCAGUGGGGGAGCUGAGGAUGGUCUUCCUCGUCACCAGCUUCAUUACAUAGGCCGAGUCGUAGAGGCCGUGGAAGCUCACCCAUACGAGCUGCCCCCUGUGCACCCUUAAAAUCUCAACGAAACCCUCCACAAAAAUAUCCGAAUCAAUGCCGAACUUCCCAAAUUUCUCGAGAUCCAAGCCAUUCGCUUUGAGGAGGGCAAUGGAUUCUGGAACAUGGGGGUCGGUUUCCUCGUCAAAACCCCGAAAGUUGAACUCCCAGGUGCCGCCGACGUUGCCGCGGUCGUCGAACAGGGUGAUACCCACUUGGAUGAGAUUGAGAGAAUCGACAUUAAGGGCGAUAUCUUGGUAACGGAGGCCCUUGGAAGUGCCUCUGGGGGUGUUGCGGAGGAACCCCGGAAAUUCGGUGUCGAACGAGACGAUCGGAAAACGGCAGAGACACCGAUCGACGGAGGGAAGGGGAAAGGUGGGUGCAAAGGAGAGAACGGGAGUGGGGUCGGAAGGGGUGAGGAAGAAGAUGCCCAAAUUUUUUUAUUUAUUUAAUUUUUUUAGUUUUUAUUAUUUUAUUUUUUAAUAUGCACGUGUCAUCAUGUCAUUGUCCACGUGGAUAACACAUCAUUAGUUAACAGUAAAUUUAAAGGCAACCUUAAUGAAUGUAUAAAAUUGUUCCAAAAUUAUAACUUUAUGUACCACUCUGAGAUGAAAAAAACUUUAUUUACCAAAUAUUGAAAACAAAAAAACUUUAAGAUAAUAAACUAAUAUUAAUCCUAAAAAACUACUAAAGGAAAGGGUGAAAGAAAAAAUUAUUAGUUUGUGCUGUUCUCAUGGUAAUAGUGGUUUUUGUAUUGUACGAUCAUGUGUUACAUUUUAUGCAUUAUUAUGUGGAUGAAUGAAUAAGUUAAUUACAUCGCAUGUCAUAGGGUGAAUAUUACAUUAAAAAAUUCUUCAUUCUUGUUAUUCGUCAAAUUAAUGGUUGUGCAUUUGUAUGAGGACCUAGAUCUGUUGAGGAUGCAGAUCUUCACUCGUUGAAGGCCAUCCCUAUCUAUCUACUACUACUCUUUGGAAAAUAAUUGACUACAGAUGAUUGUACAAAAAAAUAAUUAAUAUUAUCUGAACAGCUCACCAUGCAUGUUCAGUAAAGUAAAGCGGAUUUGUUUAUUCAUUGUCUAGUUCAAACUUGGGGAGCAUUUUCUCAUUCUUGCGGUGAUCAGAAUAAUGUGAUUUAAGUCCAGUUAAACAUGCUUAAUUAUGCAUUUAAGCAUCUUUUAUUUAUUUGCUUUCAUUAUUUUUUCCUUCUUAAUGUGUUGUUAUUGUUUGGAACAACAAGUAAGACAAAUCUAGCCAGUUAGCAUUCACCGCAUCACCGCAUAAUGAAAGAUUAUUCAUAUUUGGAAAUGAAUAAUUAAUUAAAAAACUGUAUUAUUAAGGCAAAUGGGCACUUAAUAUUUGUAUCUUAAACCUUCCGAGUCGGAUAUUCGAGUAAAUUAGUUAAAAAGCUAUGCAAAAUGUGAAUGUGACAGACUACGUAGUAAAGUUUGGGUUAAGAGAGAGAGAGAGAGAGAGAGAGAGUAUUUCGCAGCCGGCUGGUCCCUAUGUACGGGAAGAAUCAUAGAAAGUUAGGUAACUACACACAUUUUUCAAAGAUGUCGAUCAUGAAAAAUAUUUGAUAACAAAUUCAGGGAGGACAUACUGCUUAAAUUAUUAACCUAGAAAUAAAGUUCGAUCUCUUGCUUUAACUUUUCUGCUACGUAGCUCUUAUUGCAUUAAACAAAGCCUUAUUAAAGUAAAGAUGGUCACACCCUUAGCCCUUUAGGUGAUACGUUCAGGGAAAUGGUUAAUGUUUUUACAAGCUCUUGUUUAUUUUUAUUUUUUAAUAUUUUCAGAUAUUUUUACAAUCUUUUACUGCGCAGUAAUAGAGUGUAAAAAUCAUAUCUAUGUAUUUAUUUAUUAUUAACUAUGUUUACAAUGAACCUUCUAUUCCAUGAAACAAGAUAUAAAAAUAAAAAUAAAAAGGAGAAGGGCAUAAAUUAACAAAAUUCGGUCAAAGGCCGCAUUGGUCCAAACAUUAAUUGAUAAUCUAUGACAAAUAGUCUGGCCCCAUUAGCAUUAUUUUAACAGUAAUAUUGUUUUUUUACUAAGAUAAUUAAUAAUUGCCAAGUGAAAAUUUGGCAUGAGUACCAUUGUGAAGGGUAAAAACCAAAGCUAUAUAAAGGGUGAGGAGGCUUAGCUUCAGAGGCAGACAACCAAAAACCCAUUCUUAACGAAGGAUGGGAAAAAUGGUGCCUUCACAAGUGACCUCUCUUGUGGUCACUCUCCUAGUGGCAAUAGUCUCUCUCACAUUGCCUUCAGAAACUUCAGCUAACUACCCUUACACCUCUCCACCACCACCGGCCUCUCCUCCCUACCAUUACAAGUCACCACCGCCUCCUUCUCCUUCUCCUCCAGUGCACUACUCACCACCUAAGCAUCCCUACCACCCUAAGUCACCACCACCUCCUGUGUACGCACCACCUAAGCAUCCCUACCACCCUAAGUCACCACCACCUCCUGUGUACCCACCACCUAAGCAUCCCUACCACCCCAAGUCACCACCACCAUCACCAAAGCCUUACCACUACAAAUCCCCACCACCACCUCCUGCUCCAGUGCACUCACCACCCCCACCUAAGGAGCCAUACCACUACAAGUCCCCACCACCACCACCCAAGAAGCCCUACCACUACAAAUCUCCCCCACCACCUCCUCCUCCAGUUCACUCACCACCACCACCCAAGGAGCCUUACCACUACAAAUCUCCACCACCACCACCCAAGAAACCUUACUAUUACAAGUCUCCUCCACCACCACCAAAGAAGCCUUACCACUACAUGUCUCCUCCCCCACCGGUGUACUCACCACCUCCACCAGUGCACUCACACCCACCACCAAAAAAGCCUUACCAUUACAAAUCUCCUCCCCCGCCAGAAUAUUCACCAGCUCCACCAGUGCACUCAACCCCACCACCAAAGAAGCCCUACCAUUACAAAUCCCCACCACCACCACCACCACACAAGAAGCCUUAUUACCCUGUUCACUCACCACCUCCACCUAAGAAGCCUUACCACUACAAAUCCCCACCACCACCUUCUCCUACUCCUCCUAAAUACUCACCACCUAAGCACCCCUACCACUACAAGUCUCCACCACCACCACCAAAGAAGCCUUACCAUUACAAGUCCCCACCACCUCCUUCUCCUACUCCCCCUAAAUACUCACCACCUAAGCACCCCUACCACUACAAGUCACCACCACCACCACCCCAAGAAGCCUUACCACUACAAGUCUCCACCACCACCACCUCCUCCAGUUCCCACACCAUCUCCACCCAAGAAACCUUACCACUACAAGUCUCCCCCACCACCCCCUCCAGUCUACAAGUCUCCUCCACCACCAGUUUACUCACCACCACCACCACCUAAGAAACCUUACAAGCCACCAACUCCUCCAGCAGUUCACCCACCACACGGUUACAUCUAUUCCUCACCCCCACCUCCUCACCACUACUAGAUAUUGAAAGUUUAAUUGCAUCA